UCUUGCUAUUUUGUCUUACCAAGAUCUAGCUUUUAAGGAGCCAAAAUCUUAUGAUGAAGUCAUAUCCAACCAGUUGAGUAAACACUGGCAAGUGGCCAUGGAAGAUGAAAUGAAAUCCCUUUUGAAAAAUUAGACUUGGAAACUUGUCACCAAGCCUAAAUAUCAAUUUGUUGUAGAUUGUAAAUGGGUUUACACUGUGAAAGGAGGUUCAAAAAAGUAACCUCUUAGAUUUAAGGCCAGACUGAUUGCCAAGGGAUUCAUACAAAAUCAGGGAAUAGAUUACAAUGAAAUUUUUUCAUCUAUAGUAAAAUAUACCACAAUCAGGGUAAUGUUAGCUCUUGUGGCUCAUUAUGACUUCGAAUUAGAGCAAAUGGAUGCUAAAAUAGCUUUCUUGCAUGGGGACCUAGAUAAGAUCAUCUAUAUGAAAUAGCCAAGGGAUCUAUAGAUAAGAAUAAGCCUGAUCAUGUUUGCUUGCUAAAAGAUCCUUGUAUGGUUUAAAAGAAUGACCUAUACAAUGGUAUAAAAUGUUUGAUACAUUUGUUUCUUCAAUUGGAUUUAUAGGAGUUCUUUUGACCAUUGUUUGUACUUUAAAAGAAAUAAGGUGCUGUGAUUGUUUACCUUUUGUUGUAUGUAGAUGAUAUGUUACUCAUUGGGCAUGAUAGUAAUUGCAUCUAUGAUAUCAAAAGGUUUUUGAGCUCUAAAUUUGAAAUGAAAGAUUUGGGACAUGCUAAAAGAAUCCUAUGUAUGGACAUUAUAAGAAAUAGACCUAAAAGAUUACUUGUUUUGAAACAAACUUCUUAUGUGGAAAAAAUGUUGUUAAAAUAUGCUAUGCAUGAAUAUAAAUCUGUUAAUUUACCUUUGGCCAGUCAUUUCAAAUUUGGCAAAGAACAAUGCCCUAUAGAUGAAUCUGAUGUUAAGUAUAUGGAAAAGGUUUCCUAUGUUAAUGCUAUGGGAUUUGUAAUGUACACAAUGAUAUGUACUAGACUUAAUGUGGCUUAUGUUAUUAGUACCCUGAGCCUUUUUAUGGCAAACACUGGACCUGAGCAUUGGACAACCUUAAAAUGGCUUUUUAAGGUACUUGAGAGGAUCUUCACAUUUAGGAUUAUGUUUUAAAGUCUGUAAUGAAGGGGUUGUAUUCAAGUGAUAUGUAGAUGCAGACUAUGCUAGGGAUAGGGAUAAUAAAAAGUCAACAACUGCAUACAUAGUUACUUUGUGUGGUACUUGUAUUAGUUGAAAAUCUCAACUUCAACAAAUUGUUGCAUUAUCCACUGUUGAGGCUGAAUAUGUAGCUACUGCUGAGGCCAUUAAGGAAGCUUUAUGGUUAAAAGGGUUGUUAACUGAAAUAUAUAAACUAAAAUAACCUAUAGUAGUGUAUUCAGACAAUAAAAGUGCAAUACAUUUUUGUAAAAAUCCUAUUUUGCAUGAAAGAACCAAACAUAUUGAUUUUAAACUACAUUUUAUAAGAGAUGUAAUCUCAAAAGAAUUAUUACUUUUUGAAAAAAUUCCCACUGAAUACAAUCCAUCUGACAUGGGAACCAGCGUACUGCCUUUAAAAAAGUUCAAGUCUUGUUUACAAUUACUGAAUAUUGAUGCAUCUUAAUGCUUUGGUCUAUGUAGGUAUAUAAAACUUGGUGACCACUGGAAAUGCUAAGGAGCUACUGCUAUGUUGGAUAAGUAGUAUGUUAGGCUUCUAGUAUGACCACUAGCAUCAAGGUGGAGAUUUUUUGGGCUAUGAUGCCACAUUUAGUCCAAUAAUUUAGGCUGUGAUGAUAUGGCCUGUCAGCCUUGAUAAGUAAAACUGCCCAAUAAAAUCUCAUAGAAGGCCCACAACCCCAAGCCCAAUUUCGGCCGAAUAUAUUGUAUGUUCAAAGUGCGACUUUAGUUGCUGAUUGAAUAGUGGAAACAUUAGUCACUCUGGACCAUUAGAUCACAUCCCAAAUUAAUGGUUGUUGUAUUUAGUAUAAAAGGGGUCUUUCUUGUAACCCUAAAUCAAUCAAUUCAUUCUUCAAGUCCGUGAGAGAGUCUCUAGAAUCUUCAACCCCUUUCGUCUUCUCUUCAAUUCUCAUCUUCCCAUUUUUUUGUGAUUAAAAGUUGAAAUCUCUGUGUGAGAUAGGAGUCUGUGAUUUCCGUUCUGUGCGUAAGACGGUUGAUCUGGGACUGAAUUCUUUUUGGGUUCAUUGUAGUGACUUUGUUUCAUAUCCGAGUUGUGAGGGUUUUGGGUCUAUCCAGUACCUUUGUGUUGAUAAGGAAAGGGUACAGUGAUCUGAAACUAUGAUUAAUGAGAUCUUUGAUGCUGGUUGAUUGGGGAUUUUUCGAGUGUUGUUGAUGUAUUCUCUUUGUACUGAAAUUGUUGUAUCUUUGAAUGAUUUGUAUUAAGAGUUUAACAAGCAAAUUUCUAAGAACCAGUGUUACAUGAUCAAGCUUGCACAACCAAACUUCAAUCUAAAAAAAUGUGUAAACCAAUGGGUGACCAAAAAAUGAAAGACCUCUCUUGGAAUCAUCAAAAUCUCAUCACUUCCUAAACUUCAAAUUCAAAGUAGAAAUUACAAAAAAUUUCUCAAGCACAAACAUGAACUGGUAUCACAUAAAAAGAACAAAGAUAAUAAUCAACUUCGAAUUUCAGAAUACGUCUUGUAGGAAUUUCUGGAGUUAUGGUGGUAUGCAUGGUUGGUGUACCUGUUGUACUUGAGAGGUGAUCAACAAGUUCUUGGCCUUCAACAAGAACUAGGGUUUGCUUACGCCAUAAAGGGUAAUUGUUGUGUUUGAGUUUUAUGGUGACGUAGUUGCCAAACAUUGAGGGAAAGUGAUGCCAUUUAAAAACCCGCGUGCUCACCGAAGCUCUACUGCAAAGAAAAAAAAAUUGAAUCUGGGUAAAACUUUUGUAUUGUAUUUUUUUAUUGACUCAACGUGAGCUGCAGAGAUACAAAUGAGUAAACAAAUCAAAUCAUAGCACUUCCCAUUCUUCAACUUCACAGCAGAAAUUCAUAAAAUUAUAUAUAUAGAACUUUUCUCAGGGCACAGAGAUGCAUUGGUAUCUUAAGCUGAACAAAGAUCAUACCAAUUUACCAAACAUAGAAUGAUGGUGAUGCAUGAGGUUUCAAAUCAAUUGAGAUCGAGAUGCUAGACAACAUGUCGAUGGCAUUAAGAUAUCAUGAGAUGGAGGAUCGGCGCAAAGUUGAAAAGUGAUUGCAAUACUUUCUUAUUUGGGGCAAUUUUGACACGUUUUUAGUAAUUUUGUCAUAACUUUGACUACGAUUAUCAGAAUCACGAUUAUGACCCAAUUCAGAAAGCUCUUUUCGGUGCGCACAUCGUGAUCACCCAACUUCGCUCGAUGGACAUCAAUUUUGAGGCCAAAAUCUACUAUUUUCACUUCCAAAUUUCAAUUUUUAGUUUUUUUUUUCAUUUAUAGUAAUAUUUUAUUUUUAUUUUUUUUCUAGUUGAUUACGAAUCCGAUUUGAGCCAAUUUUGGCAAGUUACUUCUUUUAUUUUGGUGUGAUUUUCGGGAUUUUGCUAUUGUUGAUAAAAUUUCCAUAAUUUCAUAUAUUCUCAACUAUUUAACCCGACUUCUGGGUUAAUUUUCGUAAUUCUGGAGUUUUAAUAAUAUUGAGUGAAUUUCAUCGAAGUUUCUCUACAUUUUGGACGUUAUUCUUUUGUUUACUUUUUCUGCGAAUCGUUUGUUACAACAAGCUUGCGAGAUAAUCGCUAUCCUGCCCAGCGUCAGAAGUAUAUAUAUUCUUGCAACAACUUACUAUUCUUAGUCCCUCUUAAAACACUGAAAACAACCAAAUACAUAAACAGAAGGAAAAUAAACUCAAGUUGUAAACAAACCAUCAAAAGAAAUACAAUGCUAAUCUACGCAGCUUGUGAUAAUAUGUCAGCAUUUAUAUUCGCCUCUUGCAAGUUCAGAACCCUCCUCAUCCCCCUUCCUGAAUAGUCUUUUCGAUAACAUCAAAGAGAUAAGAUUCACUACACUAUCCUUAAAAGUUUUUUAAUUACGGUUAAAAAAAAAAGUAUUUUAAUUUUUUUCUUUUUGCUUUGCAUGGAAUUUAACAAUUCAAAUACUAUCCUUUAAAUUAUUAAUUCGAAACAAGUUGUUAGUUUUAAAUAAAUAAGUUUUAAUAGGAAUUAAACAAUUUCUUGCACGUAAAGUCAUACUUCAAGUCGUCACCCCUCGAAUCAGGUAACACAUAAGUUUCACCGUUAUACAUAAUAUCUUUAGUUUAUAUGCACAUAUGAUUGUGUUUAUUCUGUAAAGAAUUCAAUUUAUGAACGCAUGAAUAAGCAUGACCUGCGAUAAAAAUUAAAAAUAUCGCGAGUUAAUUAUUUACAUGUAGCAACAUAGGACAUUAAAAGGACAUGUCAUGUUCUAAUUGAAUUAUAGUACUCAAAUGAUAGAAAUAAGUAUAUAAUAUAUAUUAAUCUUUCGAAGUUGUGAAGUGUUCUAAUUAGAUUUGAAUUUUUUUUAAUAUUAUAGAUUAAUUUAGAACUUUUAAAAAAUUCUUUAUGUCUAUGCAAGAUAUUUCCAUGCCAAAAUCGUUUUUGACUUUUUUUUCCAAUAAAUCACAAUGCUCUAAUAUCUCUUUUGGUCCCUUGAACAAUUUCAGCACUGAGGCCUCUUUUGGAAUUAUUUUAUUUUAACAUCAGAAGGAAAAAAAAUUGCAUUCUUGUUUAUUCUUAAAAAUACAUAUAACCAGAAGAAUAAUUCUACUCAACUAGGGGCCGUGACAGGCUGCCAAUUUCCCCCCCCCCCCCCCCCCCCCCCACCCCCCACAUUGGGCGGCCUUUAUCACAGUAGCAAGGCCCUAAUUAGAAAUAUCAAAAUCAUGGCUCCACUAUAAAGAUCUAAGCAUCGGAUGAAUUGAUCCUAGGCCCAUUCUAAGUUUAUUCCUUGCACACACUUAUUAAACACUGAAAGUAGAAAAUUUUGGUCAUCAAGAUGAAAUGGAAUCUUCCAUUCCAUAACCCCCAACACCGUUCAUUCUCUAAUGGUUUGGAAGGUUCUAAAUAAGCAAUGUAAAUUUAAAUGGGGGACAAUAAUUUCAAAAUAGGCAGAGAAAUAUAUAGAGCAUCUUCCAUACACUCCAAGUUCAUAUCUAAUGACAACUUUGUGGAAAAUAUAACUUGUCAAUUUAAAAACUGCUGAAUAUAGACAGGCUUUAAGGCUUGUUACAAAUUCUCUUUAAAGAGUUCGACUAACGAAAUUAAUUCCGAAAAUCUUGCAGAUGAGUUUUACUUGGUUGCUAGAACAAGAAAAUGAUGAUUCCGCAACAAUUAUAUUUUUCUACAAAAGUUAGAACGUAUUGCUAUACUUAACAACCUUUAGAUGAUGUCGUUGAAUGUGAUGCACAGAGUGUGGUCCAUAAUAUACAAACUUUAUAUUCUACCACUUUUAACUAAGGUGUGUAUUAGUUCACGUGCUGCUUUAUAGCUUGCAAGGGGAAUAGAGUGGCCCGUGAACUUGUUUCUUUCUUUUGCUACUAUUUCCAUGACUUCUUAUAGUUGGAUCACUUGUAUACCACAUUUAUUUCUCGAGUUAUAGGAAGUAUUGUGCUUUUGUUAUAAGAAAAAGUAAGUUGGUUUUCAUGUCAAUUAACUUUAAAGGCAAAGCAUAUAUAGACUUAUUUAGAGACACAAUCUUUUUGAAUGGAUGCAAAUUUUCUCAUUCAUAAAUAGGUUUGUGUUUUCUUAGCCCUUGUUUUAUCCCCAUUUUGGGGGUAAUAAUUUAUUUUGGAUAUUAGAUUGAUAGAGAAUAUGUAGUUAAAAAUUAAAGAAAUUUUUUGAAUUUAAGUGUAAUAUUAUUUUAUUGAAAAAUGUGUGGUUGAAAACGAGUUUUGAAAAAACGAAUUUUUAGAAGAAUGUGAAUCAAACUAGGACUUAAUAUCUUUUCCACUUAGGCAUAAUUUUUCUGCAUCUAAUAUGGACCACUAAUUUCUUUCAUAUUUAUUCCAUGAGUUCCUAAAAUUUUUUUUUUAUCACAUUGAGCCCUAGUUUGGCCCCCCAUUAAAACUCAUCAAUUUAAUUUAAAUUUUUCUCUCUUCUAUUUUCAACCAUAAAAUCUUCGAUAAAAUAAUAUUACACGCAAAUUGAAAACUUUUCAUUAUUUCACAGCCAUCCAUUUUUCAACAAAAACACUAUUUCCCCAUUAUAAAUCCAAAUAAUGGAUGCAAAAUGGGGGCUGAAUAUGAUCACAGCAUUAAUUAAUUUUUUGAUAAUUAGAAUUUCCCAAGUUUUUGAUUUCUGAACUAGUAAAAAAUAUCAUAUGCUGGCAGUAGGAUGCUUGGCAAGUAGUCAAAAAAGGAUCAAACCAAUUCUUAUGUUGUUAGAUUCACAAGUAUUAUCCACUUAUCCAUGACUCAUUUAUAUUUACUUAAUAACACUUCCCAAAUAAGUUAGUUUACUUAGAAUGAAUUUCUACACUAGGGUAAAAGUAAAUUAUUCAAAACAUGUUCAGAAAGAAAAUACUUAAAAUUAACUUCUACUUAUUUUCAAUCGUUGCCAAAUUAAUAUCCUUCUUUUUCCAAGUGUUACCUUAAGUCUGCUGCUUUUUUGAAAUAGGAGGAAGUUAGGUACGUUCUUUGCAUCUUCCGCACUCCAGCGAAUCAAGUCAAUAUGCUCCUCCUCAGAGCGAUCUCUUUCAAUUUCUACAAUUUUCUUCUAUGCAGAUAUGUUUUCACCGGCAUUAGAUUUUGGAAUCUGAAUCAUUUGAUAUAAUUGCUGAAGUUAUAAUCAAGAUGUUCAGCUUAAGGAUCAAUAAAAAAUUGAGUUCCUAAGUUCGACUUUAGAGCUUUCAUAGCAUUAAUUUAUAGCCACGAUUCUGUAGUGAUUAGGAGUUGAUGUUCCAUAUAUUUUAUUGUGUGUUUACCAAGUAGUUAUCGUAAUUAGUCAGGAAUCACAAAUAUCUUUGAGUUAAUAAAGUAAAUUAAAGGUGUAUAAAGGAGUAAAACAGGCUUGAUUGAGUUUAAAACAUUUACUUACGAGUAAAUAAGAAAGCUUUUUAUCAUUUCAAGAGCUAAGGUAAGAAUUAAUUAUUUCUGAAUGAAUAGCUUUAAAAAUAUAUAUUUCCAAAAGUAAAUAAUUUUUUUACUUAAAAUAAAAAAAAUAAUUUUUUAAACUCGUUUGAACCCAUUUUUGAAUAGUGUAUUGAUAGAAAAUAUGUAGUUAAAAAAUAAGGAAAAAUUUUAAAUUUACGUGUAAUAUUAUUUUAUUGAAAAUAUAUUAUUGAAAUGAUGUCAAAAUACUGUUUAAAAUUGCCUUUUUCACCCAAAGAAUAGGGUUCAAACAAGGGCUAAAUUUUGGAAUGAAAAGUUAUUCCAAUAUAAUUACUUAGCCAAACGUACUCUCAAGGAAGCUUCUUAUUGGUUCUUUUCUCAAGUUAUUUUAGCAGAUGUGUGUUUACUAAUUAUCUUAAUUAGUCAGGAAUUAUAAAUAUCUUUGUGUUAAAAUGUAAAGCAAAGGCGGAAAAGGAAUAAAACUCAAAACAGGCUUGGUCGAGCUCAAAAAGUUUAUUUAUAAGUAAAUAAGUGCUAGUUUGGGAGAAAUUAUGAUGAGAUUAUUAGUGAAUAGUGGGCACUGCAAAACUUGUGGAUAAUUAGUGAGCAAAUAUUGUGAAUAUGUGAUUGAAAUUAUUAAACAUGAUUCCCAACAAAAAAAAUAUUUAAGCUUACGUGCUUAGAAAUACCUACACUCUAUGUAGCUUCCUAGACAAUAGUCAAAUUAAGAUUUAAAGGGUGUUUGAGCUCCAUUUUUAUGAAAAAAAUGAAUUUUAGAAUAGUAGAUUAAUAGAAAAUGUGUAGUUGAAAAAUAAGGAAAAUGUUUUUAUUUACGUACAAUAUUACUUUAUUGGAAAGUGUUUGAUUAAAAAGAAGAGAGAGAAAAAUAUAUUUUGAAAAAAACAUCAAACAAAGCCUUAUUAUAGUAUUUUUCAUGGUUCAUGAACCUAACUUAUAAAACAUAAAUGACUAAAGCAUAAUAAUUAAUUAUGCCAAAAUCUUGGAACCAAUCCCUUAAGAAUAAAAUUAUGAUUAUCCCACAAAAAAGUUCUGACUCUUAUGCAAUAAGAUUUUAAUAGGCUAAUUUGUAGCAGAGCAUUUUCAAGAAACUCGUUAUUUUUAAAGAGCAUAUUUUAUCAUUUAGAGGCUAUUUAUAAAUUUAGAGAGUAAAAGUUUUAAAACACUCAACAGCCUCUUCAUAUUUAACACUUAAUUUUACUACUUCAGGAAAAAUUUAUUAUUUUUCUUUAUCUUUUAUUUUGAUUAGCUUUUCUCUAGAUUGUUAUAUUAUUUUCCUACAUUGAAAAUUGAAAUACUUUGAAUAUAUUUAAUUAUAGUAAGUAGGUUUGGCUCUCCGAACCCAUUCUCUAAAUUAAAAUGUUAAUUUAAAGAGUAUGUUGAAGUAUAAUUUUAAAGGUUGACUCUAGAAGUUAUACUUUGGAAAUCCAUAUAAAGACCAUCAUUUGGCAAUAUUGUCAUCACAAACAACACAAAAAACCAGCUGUUUCAUAUCUUUGGGAGCAGUUAAAAUUUGACAUGGCACAUUAAGAAAAUCUUGGAAAGAUUGGCAUAGAAGGAUUUAAAAUCGUGAAGGAGUUCUUCCCCGAAAGAAGAGGUCUGACUACUCACCAAGAACGCUAAGAGAACGAAUAUUUUACUCCAAAGGAGAGAAAUCAGGUUGCUCCGAGCAAGCAAGGUUCUAUCAAUUGCAACUAGGCUGCCAAUAAUAUGGAGGAGUCAUAAUUAUAGAAGGUCGUAAGAAAGUACCUUUUAGGUACUAAGGCUUAUUAGACACUCUCCCGGUUUAUUAGACACUCUUCCUUAUGUUCUUUGAAAAUCAUAGUAAAUCCACUACUUAUGAAGCUAGAUAACAUAUGAUGUGCAUUUAGUCUACGAGUCUAAUGUAAUAACUGUUGGGUGUGGAAACUUCAAUAACUUAUGUUGAUUCCAAACAGAAUUUUAAAGAAUGAAAUUUAAUGAUAAUAUUGAAGUAAACAAGAUCACACCAAGAAACAAGGUUUAAAAGUAAAGAGGAACAAAAGGAUUAACGUAGAGGAACGAUGUUUAUUGAAUCAACAAUAUAGAGAAUACAAAGCACUCUAGUAAUUGGCUUCUAUCUAUUACAUGUAAUAAAACUGACAGAGGAGCAUUGUAUUUAUAGGUCAACCCUAGAAGAGUUUUAAAAAGAAAGAAAGAAAAUAUAUUACAAUUAGGAGACCCAAUUUCAACAUGAUUUUGUUUCCUUUUGUCGGAUGCAAUUAGAUUCCCUUUCCAAGUAAAAUCUAAACUGCAUCUUCAAAAGACUCCUAACUAAUUUUUAAGAUUCCACUUGAUCAAAUCCUAAAUAAACAAUAAUCCUAACACAUUUGAGUCACCAAACCUAACAAUUUCCACCUUGACUCAAAUUUCGGUGCUACGAACGAAACUCCUAGAUUUCAAAUCUAUCUACAUCGAAAUUAACUGGCUGAAUCUCCUCAACACAGUAACCACUCAAUAUAAACCAAACACUCAUCCUCUACCCGGUGUUCACAACCGACACCCGAACCCAAUCCCCAGGGUUUCCAAUUCCACCAAGAAAUUAAUGUUGAUCACACAGGGUCGAAGCACAUAGAAGGCCCCUUGUUGGAGCUGUCGCCUUCAACAUACCCAAAAGCAUCCAAGACAUUAUUGACACCACCGUACCUAUGCUCGAUGAGUCCUAUCCUAGUAACUGAACAUAGUGUACUCACUGAAAUUGAUGGCAAAGUGGGAUCACAAUGCUCUCCCUAACAAUGUUCUAAACCGACUCAGAGUCCAACCCAAGAGGUACUAUACCAAAUCGAACUUCCACCACGGUACUAAACUUGUCCAAAUGUCUCCUAACAGGUUCUACACUAUCCUGCAAAAUGUACAACUGGGAUCUCCUUCAUCCUUCCAGUACAAUUCGGACUCCCUUUCCACCUCCUCUAGAGAAUUUAUACCUUUUUACAUCCAAGGUACUCAGUGAAAUGAAAUUUCUUUUUAGAUUAGGAACAUGUCAAAUAUGAUCAAUUGUUCUAAAUGUUCUAUCUCACAGCCUCAAUCUGACUCGAUCGAUCCUAGUAAUACGACAAUAUUGAUUGUUUUCCAUUACAACUUCACCUUGCUGAACAGCCUCAUAUGUCUGAAAUAAAUUUCUAUCGGAACACGUGUGGUACGAACAUACUGAAUCAAUAAUCCACUCCUCGUCAGGCCUAGACUCCACAUCAGAUAUCACGAUCAACAUCACCUCUUCGCUAUUUGAACAAUUCUCAACUACAUUAGUUUCGUCUGAAUUCAAAGGUUGUACCCCACGAUUUGCAGUUAAAUCACCUUCAAGCUACAACAUAUCGCAAUCCUUUUGAAUAUAUCCCUUCCUUUUGUAGUAGUAACAGGUCAUAUUGCUAAAUCUAACUCUCGAUCUACCUAUUUAUCAACCACCUUGUGAUACAAGAGCUUUCCCAUCCGUUGAUGUAGCUACAAUCAAAUGCUUCAUCUUCUCUUUUGAGCGUAAAGUAUCAUAGACAUCUUCUAUAGUCAAAAUAUCUCGACUAUACAAGAUAGUAUCCUGAAACGACGUAUAAGACCCAGGCAGCGAACACAACAGGAUCAAGACAAUAUCUUCUUCAUCAUACUUAACCUUCAACGUCUCCAGAUUUGCAACUAUUUCUUUAAACACGGCAAUGUGAUCUUCCAACGAUCGUCCUCCCAUCAUGCGAUAGGAAUACAUUCUCAACGAUCCUUCUCCUUGAACUCGCAGUCACACAUAAUUGCUCUAGUCUCAACUACAAAGUAGCUGCCGUCUUCUCCUUUAAGACAUCCUGCAGAAUAUUGUUGGAUAAAUGAAGAUGAAUCAAUGACACAGCCUUUUGAUCCUUCCAUUGUCCAAUCAGCUGGCAUUUUCUCAAAAUCCAAAAAUAUAUUGUCCAAAUCCAACUGCGGCAAAACAGCCCUCAUCUUUACUUGCCAAAAAGAAAAUCUUGUAUUGCGAUCCAGUUGCGGAAUAUCAUACUUCAACCUAGCCAUCCCGAAAAAUCUCAACCAAUCUACGAAAGGAACUAAGCUCUGAUACUACUUGUUGGGCACGGAAGCUCCAAUAACACAUGUUGAUUCCAAACCGAAUUUUAAAGAAUGAGAUUUAAUGACAAUAAUGAAGUAAACAAGAUCACACCAGGAAACGAGGUUUAAAAGUAAAGAGCAAAAGGAUUAAAGCAGAGGAAUGAUAUUUAUUGAAUCAACAAUCUAGAUAAUAUAAAGUAAUCUAGCAAUUGGCUUCUAUCUAGUACAUCUAAUAAAAUUAACAGAGGAGCCUUGUAUUUAUAUGCCAACCCUAGAAUAGUCCUAAAAGACAAGAAAAUAUAUUACAAUUACGAGACCCAAUUUCAACAUGAUUUUGUUUUCUUUUGUUGGAUGCGAUUAGAUUCUCUUUCCAAGUAAAAGUCUAACACACAUCUUCAAAAGACUCCUAAUCAAUUUCUAGGAUUCCACUUGAUCAAAUUCUAAAUCAACAAUAAUCCUAACAUAUUUAAGUCACCAAACUUAACAAGUAAUAACCUGGUAACAUAUGCAGCGCUUUAGUAACCUUGUAACUUUCGUGUGAUUUACGUAUUUAUACCUUGGAUCAUUUGCUCGAAAAUCCUCGACUCAAGGCUUUGCAUCUCGUGAUUGGUUCUCACGGACUAUUCUAAUAGCCAUUCACUUCAUAUCUGCAAUAACAGACAAUAUAUGUUCCAGUCACCAAAGAAAUGGAAGGAAGAUAUUAAAGUUAGUACUGUUGAAACUAGUUAAAUGAUACCUCAAAAAAUCCUCCUGAGAAAUAGUGCCAAUUAAUUAAAGUUCUCGAGUUAAAUGAGACGGCCAUUAUUUUCAAACAUAGGGGGACAUGAAUCAAAGCAGUUUACAUACAUCGUCCCGUGUAAUACUACUGAACCCCGACGUGUCAUGCGCCGAUGAUAGAUACCAACUAAAAGUCGGACCCACCAUCUAGGCAACUAUAAGUACAAUAUAUCACUUUUUAUACAUCAUUUUUCUAACAAAAUUCCGGUAUUAUCUCCCAUGUAAACAAGACUAACCAACCUGUGAUCAAUUACACACAAAUCCAUAAAUACUGCUGGUUCGUUGGUCACCCCAAAUGGCAUCACAAGGAACUUAUAAUGACAAUACCUUGUCCUGAAAGCAGCUUUUUGGUACAUCACUAUCCCUAUUUUUAAGUUGGUGAUAUCCAGAACGCAAAUCAAUCUUUGAAAAUAUCGCAACACCAUGAAGCUGAUCAAACAGUUCAUCAAUACGUGGCAAAAGAUAUUUAUUGCGAAUUGUACUUUGUUCAAUUGUAUGUAAUAUAUGCAUAGUCCCAUGGUGCCGUCUUUCUUCUUCACAAACAAAAUUGGUGCUUUCCACCGAGAUACACUAGGUCUGAUGAAACCCUUGUCUACCAACUCUUGCAACUGAAUAUUUCAAUAAGUAACUUUUUACUUAAUUUUAACUUUGAAGAAUUCAUAUCAUUGAAUAAUUCACAAGAUAAUAUCAUAUAACUAUAGGCAAGUGUGAGAUAUUCACAUAAUGUCAUAAAAUAUCAUCUCAAAAUCAAGCUAUAAACAUCAAUUGAUAACUGUGCUAUAAUCUCAUUACAUCAAAUGUACAGAAAAAUCUAUCAAAAAUGUACCAUCUAACUAAAAUCUGUAAUCCGUCCCUCGGGCAAGAAAUAUAGCAACCCCAUUACUAGGCAUCUGUUAUGCCAAUAUGUCAGCUUAAGGCAAGAAAAAAAACCAUUUUAUUCUUGCCAACCCAAAAGAUUUAGGGAUAAAUGAGGUUCUCAUUUCAUCUUUAAAACAUUCAUAACAUUCAUUAAUAACCGUGAUUUUGCAGUGAAUGGGAAUUUCACUAAUAUUAAAAGUGUUAAUGUUCCACAUGUUUGAUGUGCUUUUACCUCAUAGUUAUCUUAGGGUAUCUUUGUGCCCCUUUAAUUUCAAAAAGUGUAUUAUAGAAUAGUGAUUGAUAGUGAAAUGUAUGAUUAAAAAGAAGGAAUUUUUUUUAUUUAUGUGUAAUAUAAUUUUAAUGAAGAAUUUGUGGUUGAAAAUGAGUACUGUAGAAAAAAUAAUGUGAUUGAACGGUUGACAAAGAAAUGCUUAAUUAGUUAAUAAUCAUAAACAUUUUUAAGUUAAUAAAGCUAUAACCAAAAGGCAGAAGAGCUUAAAGAAUUAAUUGUAAAUAAACAAGUAAGUUUACAUUUUUGAAAGUAAAUAAGAUUAAGUUAGUUAAUUAAUUUAUUUUGAUGAUAUACUUUAAAAGUAAGUAAAUUAUUUAUCUCGAUGAAUUACUUGAAGUUAAUUUAUUUUCAAUUAGACCAUGGAUGAAACGUCAUUGGGUUGUGAUUGGUGUGCAUAAUUUAUGUACAUAGAACCAAGACUUAUCCAACAUCAUUUCACCCUUAAAUCACAAUAGUUUAAUGUCUCUUUCCAUCCUUUGGGACAAUUUCAACAGUGAUAUCUGUUUAGGAAUUAUUUUUCUUCCAAUUUUGAAUACAUAUAUAAUCAUGAAGUCACUAUACUGUCAAGAAAUCCUAAGAUCUUACUGUUGGAUGAUUGGAAUGUUGACUAGUGAUGGCCACUAUUCAUGAAUAAUGGAGCCUAAUAUUUAGACUUCACAUUUUCCUCAAAGUUGAUUCCCACAUUUCAAAGUUUGGCAGUAAAGUUUUCCUUUGCAUUUAAUGAAAACAUCAUGCAUGGACUUUUCUCUAAUUUCAUUCAAAAUUGGGAAUGUUAUUAAAUUCACUGAAAAUACAUGUAAUUGGAGCAAAUUGUCAAAAAGUACAAAGAUUGUGUUUCCUAGAAAUUUUCUAUAAAUAGAAUGCAUAGAAUGAAAUUAAGUAAAUAAAAAAGACAGAGAUUGAGUAACAUUGUGCAAUGAGUUAAAUAAGAGAAAAUUGAGAGAUUGUUUCUCCAUAGGAAAGUAAAAUACAGAAUGUAUUUUUUUUUUAAUCCUCUUAUUCUUUUGUUGAUAUAAUGAAUAUUGGUGUGGGUUUGUGGCGUAGGCACCAUUUUCGAACCACGUAAAUUCUUCUGCCGUACUUGCACUUAUUUUUUGCUAUCUUCAUUUAUUCUCAUUUUAAAUUAUUUGUGCUCCAUUGAUUUGACACAAUUAGUAGCGUCUAAUUCCUAACAACUAGUAUCAGAGCUUUUUAAUUUGAGUGGGAGCAAUGGCGACAGAUUAGAAUAUAUCUAAAAUCUAUAAGUUUGAUGAAUUAACUUUGGAUUUUGGAGGAUGCAAAUGGAGAACUACUUAUACUAAAAGGAUCUGUAUAAAUCACUUCAUAAGAAGCCGAAGGACAUGACCGACAAUGAGUGGGAGUUAAUUGACCGAAAGGCCUUUGAAGCAAUAAGGCUAACAUUGUCAAAGUCGACCACUUUCAACAUAAAAAAUUAAAAAACAACGGCGUCUCCCAUGGCAGCCAUAUCUAGCAUGUAGGAACAACCAUCUACAGCAAACAAAGUUUUAAUCAAAGAGUUGUUUAAUAUGAAGUUGGCAGAAGGAGGAAGAUUUGGACACCACCUAAAUGAGUUCAAUGAAGUGACGGACUAGAUAAAAAUAGUCGAAAUCACUUUCAGUAAUGAGGUUCGAACUUCGUUGAGUCUCAGGCAAUUGUCUAAGGGUUGGAAUGACAAAGCUGUAGCAGUUAGUAGUUCUACUAGAAAUUCCAAAUUGAAGCUUGAAAAUGUUGUGAGUAUGAUUUUAACUGAGAAAAUUUGAAGAUAGUUAAAAUUUUUUUCCAUUUUAAGAUUUUUUUUGAAUGUAGAGAGCAGGUGCAGAAAGUUCAAACAGAAACAAAGGGCAAAAUAGGAGCGUGUCAAGAAUUGGCAGAUCAAGAUCAAAAAAUCCAAAGAUUUCCAACAAAUCAAAAACUGUUGAAUGUUGGCAUUGUGAUAAGACCAAACACUACAAAAAUCAAUGCCAAGUAUCCAAGAAAGAAAAUGAAAACAAGAUCUAGGCCAAUGUUGUAGCAGAAGAAUUAGAUGAUACUUUGAUAUGCUCUUUGGAAAGCAAAGCAGAAUAUUGGGAAAUAGAUUCUAGAGCAUUUUUCACGCUACCUUAAAUAGAGAACUCUUCGUGAAUUAUGUACUGGGUAAUUUGGGAAAGGUGUAUCUUGGUGAUGAUCAACUUUGUGACGUAUUCAGCAAAGGUGAAGUACAAAUCAAGCUUAAUGGAUCUGUAUGGAAACUAAAAGAUGCGACAUAUUCCAGACUUGAGGAAUAACUUUAUAUACGUGAGACAACUAUCAAAUUAAGGUUAUGUCACUACUUUCAAUGAUGAUAUUUGGAAGAUUUUCAGGGUGCAAUGACCAUCACACGAGGCAAGAAGAGUGGCACUCUUUAUAUGACGACGAAUGCUUGCGAAAUAAUUUGAAUUGUUGAUUCUAAUGAAGAUUCAAAUUUAUGGCACCAGAGACUUCGACAUAUGAGUUAGAAAAGAAUCAAGUAUCUGCAUCAUAAAGGGAAACUACCAAGGCUUCAAUCUAGUGACGUAGAUAGUGUGAGAGUUGCAUCUUCGAGAAGUAGAAGUGGAUGAGUUUCAAUAAGUGUGGCAGAACUCCAAAGCAGAAGAAGUUAGAGUUAGUUCACGCUAAUGUUUGGAGGCCAGCUGUAGUACCAUCUAUUGAUGCAAAAUCUUAUUUUGUGACUUUCUUUGCUGAUCACUCAAACAAAAGUAUGGGUCUACUUAUUGAGACAUAAAUCCAAAGUGUUGGAGAUAUUUAUGAAGUGAAAAGCCACAAUGGAGAAUGAAACAGGAUUGCGAAUAAGAAAUUGAGAUAGAUGAUGUCGGAGAGUACGACCACGCUGAUUUUUACAAGAAUGGUAUCAAAUUGGAGAGGACAUUUUCAGGAACAUCGCAACAAAAUAGAGUGAUGGAACAAAUGAAUUGAACGUUAACAGAAAGAGUUAGAAGCAUGCGGUUACACUCAGGUUUGCCUAAACAAUUUUAGGCUGAAGCUAUCAACACACUAGCAUACUUAAUUAACCCCUGGCCAUCAAUACCUUUGGAAUACAGGAUGUCGGAGGAAAUAUGGAACAAAAGAGAAAUAAAACUUUCACAUUUUGAAAGUUUUUGGCCUUGUCGCAUAUGUACAUAUUAGUGAUCAAGUUAGGGGUCCGCUUGAACCUAAAUUACUAAAGUUUACCUUCAUUAGAUAUGGUGGAGAUGAGUUCAUGUACAUCACAUUCAAUGAAAGGGUGAUGUACAAGGAUAGAGAUACUGUGCAGUCCAGUGACAUACAUAAUAAUCCAACAUAUGUUGAGUUAGAAGAUACUCCAAAUAGUAGUAUGCCAUAGCAGACAGAUGAGUGUCCUUAGCCAGAGAAAGCUAUCGGGAAACUGAUAUACUAAAGUCUCCAACUCUUGUUUCUGUACUAAGUAGAUCUUCCAGACCACACAUUCCAAAUAGAAAAGUGCAUAAAUUAUUUAUUACUCACAUAUGCUAGUGAAAUUGAAUGCCAUGAUGAGGCAUGUUAGGGAGAAGAUGUGAUUAAGUGGGAUCUUGCAAUGAAAGAUGAGAUAAAGUCUCUUAUCUCUAAUCAAAUGUGGGAGUUGAUUGAGUUGCAUGCAGGAAAGAAGGCUCUACACAAUAAAUGGAUCUAUCAAGUUAAAGAGGAACAUGAUGGUUUAAAGAAAUAUAAUGCAAGAUUGGUAGUCAAAAGUUUUCAACAAAAAGAAGGAAUUGACUACACAAAGAUUAUUUGCUAGUUGUAAAUCGACAACAAUUCAAUCGGUCUUAAGUAUUGAUGUAGCAGAAGGAUUGCACUUAGAGAGUUAGAUGUGAAAAUUGCAUUUCUCCACAGUGAUUUAGAAGAAGAGACAUAUAUGCAGCAAUCAGAAGGUUUCUCAAUCUAAGGAAAAGAGGAGCUUGUGUGCAAAUUGAAGAAAAAUUUGUAUGGCUUGAAACAAGCUCCGAGACAGUGGUACAAGAAGUUUAACGGAUUUAUGCAAAGAAUUGGCUUCGAAAAGUGCAAUGCUAACUAUUGUUGCUACUUUAAAAGGUUGGAGUCUGGUUACAUUAUUUUGCUACUUUUAUGUUGAAGACAUGCUAGUGGUAGGAUCAGACAAGAAUGAAAUACAAAAAUUAAAGAAGUAAUUGUCAGCGAAAUUUGAAAUGAAGGACUUGGGUCCAGCUAAAUAAAUCUUGGGAUGAGAAUUUGUAGGGUCAAGCAAAAGGGUAUUUUACAGCUAUCUUAGGUGAAGUACAUUGGUCAAGUUUAGCAAAGGUUCAUCAUUAAUAAUGCAAAGGCAGUUAGCACUUGAUUGGCUAAUCACUUCCAUCUGUUUUACGACCAGUAUCCAAAGACAUAAAAAAAGAAAGAACUUCAUGGCUAAUAGUCCAUAUGCAUCAACCAUUGAGAGUUUAAUAUAUUCAAUGAUCUAUACAAGACCAAAUGUUACUCAUCUAGUGGGAGUUGUGAGCAGAUUCAUAACAAAUCCAGGAAAAUAACAUUAGGAAGCACUGAAGUGGAUAUUGAGAUCGAUAAAUGUUUGUACUUCAAAAAAGGUGAGUUGACAUUAUAAGGUUUGUAGACAACAAUUUUGUUGGCAAGACUGAUCAUAGGAAAAAUACUACGGAUAUUUAUUCACUGUUGGUACUACUACAAUGAGUUGGGUUUCACAAAAACAAAAGAUUGUUGCUUUAUCCACUACAGAAGCAGAGUACAUGACAGUAACCGAAGCUAGCAAAGAAAUAAUUUGGUUACAAGGUUUGUUAACACACUUGGGUUUCAAACAUGUGAAGAAAGUUCUGCACAGUGAUAGUAGAGUGCUAUAUAUUUGGCUAAGAAUUCAGCAUUUCAUUCAAGAACCAAGAACAUAGAACUUUAUUAUCACUUCAUCAAAUCACUCUUGGAGGAUGGAGUGUUAAAAUUGAAAAAGAUCUAGGGUAACAAAAAGCCAGCCAACAUGUUAACCAAGACAGUAACUAUAAAAAGACUGGAGUUGCGCUCAACUCUAGUUAGUCUUCUAAGAUCAAGAGUAAAAAAUAUGAUCCACACCAUUUUCACUAAAAGUAACUGCUCGCACAAGGAAUGCGGCAUGUCUCAAGGUGAAGCCACAUUAAUCUCCAAAUAGGAGAUUGCUGAAUAAUGUUGGUCUAUUCAUGAAUAGUGGAGCAUAAUAUUUAGGCUUCAUAUUUUUCUCAAAGUUGGUUUACACAUUUCAAAGUUUGGCAAAAAAGUUUCCUUUGCGUUUAAUGCAAACAUCAUGCAUGGGCUUUUCUCAGAUUUCAGACAUAAUUGUGAAUGACAUUAAAUUCACCGAAUGAAUACGCACGUAAUUGGAGCAAAUUGUCGAAAAGGAAAAAGAUUCCGUUUCCUUGCAAUUUUCUAUAAAUGGAAUGCAUAGAAUGAAAUUGAGUGAAUAAAAAAAAAGACAGUGAGUGAGUAGCAUUGUACAAUGAGUUAGAUGAGGGAAAAUUGAGAGAUUGUCUAUGCAUGAACAAAUAAAAUACGGAGAAUGUAUAUUUUGUAAUCAUCUUACUCUCUUGUUAAUAUAGUUAAAAAUUUGUGUGAGUUUAUGGACGUAGGCACGAUUGUCAAACCACACGAAUUCUUGUGUCACACUUGCACAUAUUUUUUGCUAUCUUCAUUUAUUCUCAUUUUAAAUUAUUUUGCGUCCCACUAAUCCGAGCACAAUUAGUAUCAUCUAAUUCCUAACAUGGAAUCCUCUAGUUUAUCCCUUGUGUUGUUCCCACUUAUUCAACACCGAAAGUAGGAAAUUUUGGAAUCUUUCAUCCUUCAUUUUCUAAUGGUCCAAAAAUUCUACAAGCAAUGUGAACUCAUAUGGGGAUAAUAAUUUUCAAAAUUAUCGAACCAAUAUAGAGCAUGUUCUAUACUCACCUGAACACGAAGAACAAAUUCUGAGUCAAUAAUACAUCUCUAUCUUUUUCUCUAUAAUUUAUGUCAUCAAAACUACCAUGCACUCCAACGUCAUAUUUGACGACAAUUUUGUUCGAAAAUAUAAUAUGUCUCUUUCAUGAAAAAAGAGUAUAGAUAGUCGGUUACUCUAUAUUCACUUUUUCAAAAGAGCAACUUCUAUUUCUACCAGUCCACCACUGAUUUCUUUCAUUUUUAUUCUCGCUAUUAUUCCACAGCAGAAUAUUUUUAUUUUUAUUUUUCUUUCUUUUUUUUUUUUUUUAAUAACAUCAUAAUUGAACAUGCACGGUCAGCUGCAAAAUUAUUUCUGUUACAAUAAAUUAUGAUCAUCUGAACAAAUUAAUUUUUGACACUUAAGAUUUCACAGUUUUCCAUUUCUGUACAGCAAGAAAAUAUCCUGUGCUAGCUUAUUUCGUUUAACAGUAAAAGACCUCUUUACAUAUUGCUUUACAGCUGCAAGAACCAUGUAUUCAUAUCAAAUAGAGCAUUAGGGACUAUAAUAUGGAAGAAUAAAUCUUAAAUGUUGGCUUCUAGUCAAGCAAAAAUAUGUUUAUUUUUCGAAUCACUUACACGCUAACUAUACAAUUAAGUAGAAUCUAUUUAUUUCAAUAAGUGCAUAACUGGCUAAAUCCAAAUUGAUGUUAUUUAAAUCCGUUUACCUAAUGGUGUGAGUACAAUAUAUUCAUUUAAUUAGUACAUCAACAUGGGCUAUAAUUUUUAAAAAAACUCCAAAUUAGUUACUUUAAUCAGGUAAAAACCUUGCUGUGCCUAAAUUUUUAUUCUUUUCUCCAAAUAUAUUUCAUAUUUAAAGAGAAAUGAUUAGCCUAAACUAUAGCUGUAUAAUGCAGUGAUGUUUGGCUAAACUAAAAAUGUUUACCUAUAAGUAAAAAGGUGUUCGGAGGAGAUUAAAAUUAGAUUUUUUUCAAUAGAUUGUGAUAUAAGUUUUUAAAAUGUGUGGUUGAAAAGUUGCGGGAUCCAUGAAAGAUGUGAUUAAGCCUCCGUUUGGCCCCCAUUUUUUUUUUCAAUUUUUUUUUUAUAUUAAGAAUGUGUGGUUGAAAAAGAAUAAAUUUUUUUUAUUUAUGUGUAACAUUACUUUAUGGAAGAUUGUGAUGUUAAAAAUAAAAGAGAGAAAAAAAUUGAAAGAGAAUGGGGGCCAAACGAGAGCUUGAUUGUUGAUCUUUGAUUUAUAUUAAAAUCAGAUUUUAGCCUUUGUUUGGCCCUCAUUUUUUUAAAAUGAAAAUGGGUGGAAUGAUGUUUUUUUUUUUUGAAAAAUGAGUGGUUGAAAAACAAUGAAAAGUUUUCGAUUUACGUGUAAUAUUAUUUUAUGGAAGAUUAUGUAAUUAAAAAUAGGAAAGAGAAAAAUAGAAUGAAAUUUAAUUUAAUUUAAUUUAAUGAGAUUCAAACGGAGCUUAAUCCAAACCAAAUGGGCUCUAAAAAAGUUUAGAAAUAAAUAGCUACUUUAUUGAUCAAAAUUUAGAAAAUUGAAUUAUUUUGACAAUAAGGGUCCGUUUGAUUGCAAGAAUAAAUUUUAGGUGGUAAGAAAUUGAAUUCCAAGAAAUUGAAUUGUAUAGAACUUGUUUUCCUGAGAAUUGUCAAUUAAUAUGUUUGAUUUGUAUAAUUUUUCACUUGAAAAAUAUUGAAAUUUUCUAUCGUUUGGUGUUCGUUUGGCUUUGUUUUUUAUGAAAAUUGUCAAUUAAAAGGAAAAAAAUUUUGUUACAAUUGUAGAUAUAAUUUGUUCCAAUUGCUAAAAAAAAAAAAAAAAAAAAAAAUUGAAAGAAAUAAGUUAAAAAAUAAUAAAAUAAAAUAAAAUAAUCGGUCUUUGCAUCUUCUGCACCAUAGGGAAUCAAGUCAAUAUAUUAUAUCUGAUCUUCCUAAUAGAUAUUUCUUUCAAUCUCUAUCUUUUUCCUUCCCCAGAUAAGGGCUUGAAAACCUGGGAAUUGGUUUUCCACAAAACCACAAAUUGCCAAGAAAAUUAUUGCCAUCACACAUGCCAAAAAUUGGAAAAUAGGCCAAAUCAAACAGGCCCUAAGGUAAUAGGAUGAACAAGUGUCUAUAAACAAAAAGACAUACAUAAAGUUAACUUUUGCUUAUUUUCAAGCUUUGCCAAAUGUAUUGCUUCUUUGUCCAAGUGUUACCCUUUAAAGUCUGUUGCUUUAAUAAAAAAUGGUUAGGUACGGUCUUUGCAUCUUCUGCACCAUAGGGAAUCAAGUCAAUAUAUUAUAUCUGAUCUUCCUAAUAGAUAUUUCUUUCAAUCUCUAUCUUUUUCCUUCCCCAGAUAAGUUUUCACGUGCCAUCCGUCUGGAAUCUGAAUCAUUGGCUAUAUAAUUGCUAAAGCUAUGAUUAGCUUAAGGAUUAUUAGGAUAUUAAUUCCUAACUUCGACUUUAGAACUCUCCUAGAAUUAAUUUAUAGAUAAGAUUCUGUAGUGAUUAUGAUUUCGCUAUAUUAAAAGUGUUAAUGUUCCAUAUAUUUUAGCUGAUGCGUGUUUUCCAAGUAAUUAUCUUAAUCUGUCAGGAACCAAAUCUAAAAAAGGUUGAACUCCAACCUCGAGGGCCCCCAUCACCCUGCCCUUAAACCUUUGUGAGGGAGGUAAAUCGCGGGAUGUGUUCCAGCAGGUCAGGGAACAAGAGCUGUCUGUACACUACGUCUACAAGGAGUCUAAUUUCAUGUCUCAAGAAUCGAAUUCCCACACUGUGGCUGCCAGCAAAGCGUGAGAUAACCCACUCCUAUCCUUUGCACCGCUGGACUAUGCCCCAAGGAACUGGUCUUUAUUAUCAUAGAUAGUGCGUGGGUGUAGAACAAGGGACCACUGAAUUUUUUUCUAGGAGGGUCCCUAGUGACGGAUCCAUUACUCGUCUCAGAUCAAACGGAGGCAUAACUAAAGUAUGGAAAAUUAUCAAAUAGAAAAUAUAAUAAUAUUAUAAAUAAAAGUAAAAAAAUAAAAAUAAAGAAGUCAUAUAAUUUUAUUUUAUUUUCAAAUUUUUAGUAAAACUCCACUGGUCCCUACAUCCAUCCAUCACGCCUUGUAUCUAUCAUAUUCCUUUGGUACUAAAGUUUUAUCAACUUUUUAAUUGCUCAAACUUUAAUUUCAAUUACGCAUUUCAUGGAGUCCAAAAUUUUAAUCAACUUAUCAGCGACACAUUAAAUAAAAAAUUAUCAAAAUCAGUUAAAGUUUUUUUUUAUCAAAAGUUUUGUCACACAGUCCCUAAGUGUAAGUCUGAUUAUAAAUCGUUUUAGGAUUGGGUAGUCUUUCUUCCAUAUAUAUAUAUAUAUAUAUAUAUAAGGAAAACUCCAAUCGAAGCUCACGACCUAUUAGAAAAUUAAAAUAUUUUUCCUCUUUGUGUAUAGUAAUUUAAUUAGACAUAAUUAUAAUCAAGGGUAAUAAUUUCUUAAUUUUCAUCGUAAAUCUAUCUCUUUUUUGGCUUUGCAUCUAUUUAUAUUUCACAAUAUCAUAUGGAAUAAAAAUUUUAGUUCCUUGAAAUACCUAUCCAAUAAUUAUUUUAUUUUUGUGAAGAAAUUCAAAAUAAAAAGGCUUGAAAACCUGGGAAUUGGUUUUCCACAAAACCACAAAUUGCCAAGAAAAUUAUUGCCAUCACACAUGCCAAAAAUUGGAAAAUAGGCCAAAUCAAACAGGCCCUAAGGUAAUAGGAUGAACAAGUGUCUAUAAACAAAAAGACAUACAUAAAGUUAACUUUUGCUUAUUUUCAAGCUUUGCCAAAUGUAUUGCUUCUUUGUCCAAGUGUUACCCUUUAAAGUCUGUUGCUUUAAUAAAAAAUGGUUAGGUACGGUCUUUGCAUCUUCUGCACCAUAGGGAAUCAAGUCAAUAUAUUAUAUCUGAUCUUCCUAAUAGAUAUUUCUUUCAAUCUCUAUCUUUUUCCUUCCCCAGAUAAGUUUUCACGUGCCAUCCGUCUGGAAUCUGAAUCAUUGGCUAUAUAAUUGCUAAAGCUAUGAUUAGCUUAAGGAUUAUUAGGAUAUUAAUUCCUAACUUCGACUUUAGAACUCUCCUAGAAUUAAUUUAUAGAUAAGAUUCUGUAGUGAUUAUGAUUUCGCUAUAUUAAAAGUGUUAAUGUUCCAUAUAUUUUAGCUGAUGCGUGUUUUCCAAGUAAUUAUCUUAAUCUGUCAGGAACCAAAUCUAAAAAAGGUUGAACUCCAACCUCGAGGGCCCCCAUCACCCUGCCCUUAAACCUUUGUGAGGGAGGUAAAUCGCGGGAUGUGUUCCAGCAGGUCAGGGAACAAGAGCUGUCUGUACACUACGUCUACAAGGAGUCUAAUUUCAUGUCUCAAGAAUCGAAACCCCACACUACGGCUGCUAGCAAGGUGUGAGAUAAUCUCACUCCUAUUCUUUGCACCACUGGACUAUGCCUUGGGGGGCUGUCAGGAACCAAAUCUAUUUGAUAGAAAAGCCGGUCACAGGAAGAAAUGCCAUAUCAAUGCAUAGAUUAACGAUCUCUUUUUUUUCAUUUACGACAUUGUCCGCUUGUAUAUUCAGAAGCAUGGAUAUGAAACAAAAAAGAAGUAAGAUUUUAUUAUUUAGGAGCAAGGUAAGAAUCAUAAUUUUCAAAAUUGAAUAUUAAUGGUCCGUUUGAUUGCAAAAAUUAAAUUUGGGUGGAUAGAAAACGAAAUUCAGGAAAUUGAAUUACCUAAAACUUGUUUUAACGGGAAUUGUCAAUUAAAUGUGUUUGAUUCAUAUAAUUUUCUAUCUGGAAAAUGUUGAAAUUUUGGAUCAUUUAUUAUUCGACUUGGCAUUUUUUCCAUGGAAAUUGUCAAUUAAAUGGAUAAAUUUUUUUACAAUUGUGGAUAGAAUUUGUUUCCAUUGUUAAAAAAUAAUAAUAAAAACUUAGAAAAGUGAAUUCCCGCCAAAACAAUGAGAAUUGGGAUUCCACAAAAUCAAGAAAAAUUGGUCACGUAGGGGUUCGCGGUGGAAAAUGAAUUGCCGGGAAAUUUUGUGCAAUCAAACAUCCAAAAAGGUAGAAAAUUUUUCAUGGAAAAUUUCCUCUAUCAAAUAGACCCGAAGACAAACUUAACUUAUCCAAAUAUGUUUUGAAACCAGAAGUUGUUAAAAAUUAAGUGCUUAGCCAAACAUAGUCUCAAGGAAGCUUCUUAUGCAAUAGUCAGAAUAAUUUUUUAAGAUCUUUUUUCAUGGUUCUUGAUCCUAACUUGAAUUGGGAAAUUUGACUUAUAGUGAACAUUACCGGACUAAAGAGUUAUACCUUCCAAUUCUAUAUAAAGGCCAUCAUUUGGCAAUAUUCUCAUCACAAACAACAUCAAAACCAGUACCAAAUUUCUAUUCUUUGUGAUCAGUUAAAAUUUGACAUGGCACGUCAGGAAAAUCUUUUGAAGAUUGGCCAAGAAGGAUUUAAAAUCAUAGAGAAGGUCUUCCCCCAAACCAGAGAUCUGACUACUCGCCAAGAAUGUCAACAGAAUGAAUAUUAUAUGCAAAAACCAGCUGCUACCGACUUCAAGCAGGCUGCCAAAAAAUAUGGAGGAAUCGCAAUUAUAGAAGGCCAAAAGAAAAAGAAAAAUAAAAAAUAGAAGGCUCUUAUCCUCUGGACAAUCACACUACUCACUAAGCUAGAUGUCAUAUACUGUGGUUUUAGUCUUCGAAUCUGAUGUACAAAAUUAUAUAAUUUAGUUUUUGUAACCGUGAAACUUUCGUGUGAUUUUUGUAUUUAUAACUAGGUUCCUGUCCUAGAAAAUCCUCUACUCGGCUUUGCUCUGCUGAUUGAUCAUCACUGACAGUUCUAACUACAACAUUCUUGCUAUUCACCAAAAGAAAUGGAAGGUAGAUAUUGAAGGAAGUACUCUCGAAACUACUUAAAUGAUACCCUGAAAAUCCUCCUCAGAAAUAGGAAAUCAAUUAAAAUUCUGGCGUUAAAUGGGACACAACCAAUAUUUUCUAACAUUACGGGACACAAACACUUAUAAAUUACGGAAUCAAAAUAGUUAAUAUACAUUGUCAAGAGCUUGUUAGAAGAAAGACCUAAGUGAACAGACCAACUAGAGAGAACCUUUGUCCUCUAUUAUUGCUCCUUUAGCUGCUCGAGCGGCAGAAGCCGCAGAACCACUGAGGACCCCCUUCUGUCUUCAUAUUGUUUCUUGUGAUUGCUAGGGCAUGGCUCAUUCGGUCAUUCCUUGAUUGCUUAAAAUUCACUCCAAAACAUCUCCAAAUUAUGUCAUCGACUUCCAUUUCUCCCAAAUGCCGGUUUUUGUCCUAAUAUAUGUAAACAGUAGUAGAAUUCCGCUCGAAAACAAAAAUUGAGUCAUGUAAAUAAUAUAAAAUACGUAUAGAGUUUACAUCUAUAAGUUGAUACACUUCAACUGGUCACUACAACAAAGUUUUCCUUUUACAAUGCAUGUCGUAAGAAGUUCUUUACGGCAUGCAUGUAAACGCCGUAUCAAGCCACGUUGUAAAUACACAAAUAUUUUUACCGCAUCUAAUGCAUGCUGUAAAAAAAUGGAAUGCAACUGAUAAUUCACUUUUUACGACGUGAACUGGCGUGUCGUAAAUACUCACUUCUAAAUACACAUCAUAAAAGAUGAUAUUUAACUUUCUUACUAUGUGCACUCUCAUGCCGUAAAAAUGGAUGAUUUUUUUAUGGGUUUUCAUUUAGUGCAAGUCAUAAAUAUCAGUUUCAUUUUUUAAAAUUUUUUAUUUAUUUGAUUACAAACAAAUCUCUGCUAAUUAAAGAACUUAACUAUAAAUACCAACACCUAUAAUCAUGUUUUCCAUAAUUUCAAUGAACAAAAGUAUUGAAUGUUGUUUUAUACAAUAUACCAGAAUGCAGAGUUAACCUAAGUUAUUACUAAGAACGUCAUUAGCCUAGUCAAAAAAUUGAUGUUAUAUUUCAAAAGUAUAGACUUAUGCUCCAAUUAUACUGAUUAAAAUAGUACAAAAUAAUAGAUCCAUAUCGGAAGUUUGAGUCUUUCAUCAAAAUCUUACCUAUUUUGCUAGACCCAGCCCUCUUUUUCAAAUCAUUAAUUCCAAUAAAUUAUAAUUAAUAAACUUAGACACAGGAUGCAAAUAAAACAUGAUAAUUGUAAUGGUAAAAGAUCGUAUAUUAAACAAAAACACUACAUUAACCAUGUUUCUGCACACUGUCUAGUCUUAGAGCUUCAACAAUACACGGCAUCAACAUAUAUCCAUAUUAAACGGUACUUUUUGCAACUUCCGUCAGCAUAGGGCUGCACAAAAUAUUGAGAAAUAGCAAAUUGAAUCAAAUUCACAGGUUUGAAACAGUUGGUUCGAGCCCAUGUGCACCCGUAGUUUUUUAUCUCAAACCAAAUCAAACACUUUCGAAAUGGUUUGAUUUAGAUUUUAUUUUUCAAAAAGGGCACAAAAUCAAUCCGACUUGAACCUUUUUUUAGUUUUUAAUUAAAAAAAUAAUUGUAUUAAAUUAUAAUUUUUUAGAUAUAAAUUUUUUAUUAAAAUACAAUUACAUCUCCCAAAUUGCCAAAGAUGUAUUAGCAAUUAAAAUAUCCAUGGUCGCGAGUGGUCGGAUUCUUGUUUUGACUUCUUUAUAUUGUUGAAUCUAAAAAUAAAAAUAAAAUAAAAGAAUGUGUAGAAUCAAUGGAGAAAAUUAUAGAAAAUCAGAUAUGAGGAUAGGUAAAAUUACACAAUGCUUGUUGUGUUUUGAUACCCAACGAAUUUCGUGCUAUGAUGUAAACAUUGGAAUUUAAUUUUGCAGGCCUUGGCCAAUGGUGAAUUGAUUACUAACAACCAAAUCUAAAGGUUCGACUUGAAAACAACGUGGAAUGUUAGAAGUAACUUAAAAAAUUAAUGCUACUCACAGCCAUAUAUAUUUACCUAUUGAAUGACUUUGAAUCUUGGCUCUUUUAACGAUAUUAUUAGCCCAAUAUAUAUGUGUGUGUGUGUGUUGCUUUUUACUUUUUACCCAGCCACUGUGUUGUGAUUAGUGUGAGAAACUGAGAAAAAACAUGGUUGGUGUGUGUGUGUGUGCUGCUUUUUACUUUUUUCCUAGCCACUGCAUCGUGAUUAGUGUGAGAAACUGAGAAAAAACAUUGCUGCCCUCUUAGUGUGAAAAUCGACUGCCCUGUGUAGUGAUAAGUCAAUGGUUUUCUAGUAUAUUAGACUUUUUUAUGCCUUCUUCCAUUGUCUUUCUCGUGCCUUUGUGGCCUAUAAAUUAAAACCGUUAUAUUGGUAUUUGGGGGUGAGAUUGAGAAGCAACAAGUGAAUAUAUUGGUUAUGGGUUGGAGCCAUUUCGAUUGUUGUUUGAUAGAGAAAGAUAACGUGAAAUUGAGUCCCAAAAAUACUGUUUAGAAGAUCUUUGGAGCGAGUUUUGCGGUAAUUGGUAUCAGAGAAUCAAGCUGCUAGAUUUAGCCUAAAAAACUAACCAAAAAAGACCAGAAAAAGGUAGAAUCGAGGUAGAAAAUAGAUCGAAAAGUUGUCCAGAAAGCUUCCCAAAAUUCGGACCUAUAAUUGUAAUUUUCAGCCAAUCUAGAGGCUUAGAGGUGAAACAAAGUCCAUAUUCGAGAAGUGCGGGUGGAAGGACAACUGGACGGCUGGCGCUUGAGGUGGUUCAGCCAUGCAUGGCAGCUCUAGUGAGGCGCGUGAGUGCUUGUAGAGCUGAUUUCGAUGAUGACGUUUAGAGACAGAUUGCUCUUGGAGAUGAGGUGGACCCUGGGGACGUUCGAUUUUUUUUUUGGAUAAAAUUGUGGUUCUGGAUAGUUUUGCCAUUGCGCAUUUAGGUUCUUUUUUGCUUGAUAGGUUGCUUCAAUUACUAGAGACUUUAGGGUGAAUAAUGAUGGCCCUAAGUAGUAAAUUCACUUCUCUCAUUACUUACAGACCAAGAUUGAUUCGGUCUAAUAUCUUGGCUUAUCCCAUUUAAAUUUAACUAUGAACGAUUUAUUGUGUGGUGGCAUUAGGAUUAUGGUUACCGUAUGGGAUAACCAUUGCUUGUACUAGAAAUUUAGAUAUUAUUUGUUAUAUUUGAAGUUUUGAAUUUAAUUGCAAGUUGGUAAUCGCUUUCGUGUUUUAAUUGCUAGUAAGUCACUGCGUGAGACUGAAUUUUUGUUGAUGUACCUUUGUGUUGUAUUGAUUAUUUUGUUAGAACACCUAGACAUGAUUCAUUUGAUUACGGCCUUAAGAUUACUUUGUUUAACCUAUUUGUGCACUCUGGUUGUUAUUUUUUAAAAUGUCUUCACAUUUCAAAGUUGAACUUUCAAUGGAAAAAUGGAAUUUUCAAUUUAGCAACAAAAGACGAAACUGAUUUUGGUUUAACAAAAAGUUUCAAAAGUCAUAAAUGGAGAGUUUCUACAAAUUUUACAGAAGCGCAAAAAGAAAAAUAUGAUGAACUCGCUCACACUUCAAUUAUUUUACUAUCUAAAACUAUCUUGAUAAAAGUUGGAAAUUUUGAUUCUACUGAAGAACUUUAGAAAAAGUUAGAGGACUUAUAUUUGUUUAAAUCUACUCCUAAUAAAUUUCACUUGCUUAAAAGAUUUUUUUAGUUUUAACAUGAAUCCUUCAAAAGUUUUGAUGACAGUCUGGAUAUUUUUAACAAAUUUGUUCAAGAUAUCGUUAAUUGUAAUGAAAAUGUGUCUGAAAUAUAUAAGGCCAUUAUCUUACUCAAUUUUAUACCUGACUCAUAUAGAGAGGUUAAGAAUGCAAGAUUAAGUAUGGUAAGGACACCCUAAUACCUGAUAUUGUCAUUGAUUCUCUCAAAAGUGAAGAGAUAGAGAUUAAGGCUAAAAAAGAAGAUAAGAGGAAUGGUAAAUUACGAAGAGGAGUAGAAAGAUGUUUAAGCACAUGAAUUUGGGUAGAGCUCAACAUAGUAGUGAUUUGAGUGAUGAUGGUGUUAAGAAAAAAGGGUACAGGUUAGAACAAGUCUGGUGGUAAGUGGUGUUGCAGUUGUGGUAAGUUUGAACACUUCGUGAAGGAAUGUCUUAAGAAGAAGUAUAAGCAAAAAGGUAAGACGAGAGGUGAGGCGAAUAUGGCUAUAGGGUCGAGUGAUAACCCUAGUGAGAUUUAUUGAGAGUAAACCUAUUUACUGCAUGUUCAUCUAUGUGUAAUCCUUUUUUCAUUUGUGUGAUUAUUUAAUUCCACUGCAUGGUUAUAUGGCAUUUCAAUGCAUUUUAAAUGUACAUUUGCAUGAAUUUAAGAGCAAUUUGAUUACUUUGUGAAAUGUGUUUGUAUGCAUAGUGGGUUUCGAUGCAUUAAUAGUGGAGAAUAGUCUAUAGAGAUAGCAUUUUCACUUUGUUCCCCUACCCGAACCAUUUUGCCUAUUGGUGAUAUGGAGUAUAGAUCCCUAGGGGGUACAUUGGUGGUAUGUACCGAGGAUGAGUAUGACAUUUGGAUCACGAGUAGAGAUGUGAUUAAAUGUUAGAAUCGUCUAUCUGAGAAGACCCUAAUCAAGUGGAGUAUGAGAGAGUCACUUGUAUCACUUUUGUUGGGAAAAGACCCAUUAUCCACUUAGAUUGGGAGAAGUGAUGUAGUGACAUAGGAUAAUCUCGUGAACUUAGAAUUUAUUGUAAUUUACAAGUUAGACGUGAGUUGAGUGAUCGGUCUAGUGAACAUGGUGAGCAAUGAAAGGAGAUAUGUCUUCUCAAAGUGUGAACAACAUAGAAUGAAAUAAUGGUAUGUGUUUUGGGUCCGACACAAAAGAUAAGUUCUAUGAACCCCAUUUUAUUGGUUGCCUUGAUUAUGCAAGCAUUGAUUUUGUGUUUUGAUUGUUAGCAAGUUGAUUGGGUAUCAAAGUAAAAAUUUGUUGGGUUUCGAGACCCAUUGAAUUCGAGCUAUGAUGUAAAUGUCGAAAUAUAAUUUCACAGGCUUCGGCCAAUAAUAAAUUGAUUACCAACAACCAAUUGCUAAAGCUCAACCUAAAAACAAUGUGGAACAUUGUAAGUAGUAUAAAAAAUUAGUAAUUGUUCCUAAUCCAUAUAUAUUUACCUAUUGAAUUACUUUGAAUCUUGGUCCAUUUACUAUUAUUAGUCUAACUAACGCCAAUCCUAUCCUAUAUAUGUUGCUUUUGACCUAGCAAUGUGUAUGUGAUUUAUGUGAGAAAGUGAGAAAAACAAGACUGCCUUCUUAGUGUAAAAAUCAGCUGCAUUAUGGAGAGAAAAACCAGUGGCUUUCCUUGUGUAUUUGGCCUCCUCUUUGUGCUUUCUUCCAUUGCCUUUCUCAUGCCUUUGUGACCUACAAAUCAACACUAUUAUAUUGUCCUUUAUGGGUGAGAUUGAGAAACAAACGAGGUAAAUAUAUUGGUCGUGGGUUGGAAUUGUUUGGAUGUUGUUCAGUAGAGAAAGGUAACAUGAAACUAAGCCCAAGGACCACCUUUUAGAAGAUGUCUGGAGUGAGCUUCCACGACAAUGCUAUUCCAAUUUUUUACACAAAGCCAUCAUCCGGCCAUAGUGAUACAUCAUCUCUAACCACUUUGUUUAUCUUCAUUGACAAUUAGAAAUUCGUCUUUGACAGAAACGUGGUUGGCCAAAACCAACCAAAAAACAAAAAUAUGACAAAUCUAUAAGAAAAUAAAAAGAAACAUAAGAUCAAAUACUAAACAAAAGAAGUAUAUAAAAUCAAUAAUGUUACAAACAAAUGGAAUUCACUUAUAUCUUUUCAAUUUGAGCUUAGUAAAUUAAAUUGCAUAUCAAUGGCCUCUUUCAAGUCUCCUAUCCCCAAUUUUUCAACCUUGAUCGACCAAAUUAGGGUUACAACUGAAAAGCAUAAAAAGUUAAAAACUAAUCAAAAUUGAAAACUCUUUUACUUCAAUUGAAUAGACUAGAAACCUCUAAUCCUUCAACGCCUUGAGUAUGAUCUAGGAAAGAAGAGUGUGGCAUCGUAUGAUGAAAUUCUGGUGGCUAAUUGAAUGGCUUUGGAUGGAAGGGGAAAACGCCUUUGGUAUUGAAUAGCUCACUACCAUUGAACAAUUCAAUGGUCGAUUGAAUGGGGAAAGGAGAAAGGAAAUUGAACUAUGAGACAAAGAGAGAAAAGGAAAGGUAAAGAGAAAGAAAGAAUAGGAGAAGGAAAAAAGAAAAAGGAAAGGGAAAAGGAAGGAAAAAGAAAAGAAGGAAAGAAGAAAAAAAAUUUGGAAUGCACUCCAUAAAAAUCCUCAUUUUUAUCCCUUUUUUACGUGUAUAAAUACAUGUUGUACGUGAAAAGCCAUAUUUUUAUCAAAAUUUUUACGGCAUGUAUAAGUGCGUGCCGUAAAUAUCCAUUCUUAUCUUACAUGUUCAUGGCAUGUAACAUGUUUUCCACUAAAAUUUUUUUACGGUUCAUGCUUGAGAACAACACCGCAAACAUUCAACUUUUAGGGCGUGCCUAAAUUAAAUGCCGUUAAUACUUUAAGUAAUUGAAUUAUUAUGGCACACAUUUAAUGCCUGCUAUUAAAAAAAAAAAACUAUUUUUACUGCGUGAUUUAUACGCACAUCAUAAACAAAUGCCAUAAAAAGUUACUUUUGUUGUAGUAUUAUGCCAUUACUUGAAUUCAAUUGUUGAAACUUUUAGCAAAAGAAUUUAGAAAAUGGUUAAAUUAGGAUGCGUUAAUUAAGAAAUAAUGAAAUAAUAAUAAUGAUAAUAAUAAAUAAAUAAAUAAAAAUUCAUAAUUUAGGACUUUUAGUUUUCGAGUAUGGUUUUAGUUUUAUUGAUUUACAUAUUUGUAAGAUUGAGAGGUUUUUUCAAAAAAAAAAAAAAAAAAAAAACCUGAUUCGUUUAAUGAGUUUAGAAUUUAAGCGGUUCACUUGUGAGCCUCCUCCUCCUUUGUAAGCUUUUUAGAUGAGAUUUAUUCAAAUCAACAAGACGCAAAAAAAAAAAUAAUAAUAAUAAUAAUAAACAAAAUAAAAAAAAAACACUUUUAUUCAAAAGCUUUAAGAAAAUUUCAUUUUUAGAAACAUUUAUUCCAAGAAUUUCUAUAGAAUCCCCAUCUUAAGAAAUCCUCUUAAAGAAAUUCCUUUUUUUUUUCAAGAAUAUUAUUAUUAUUAUUAUUAUUAUUAUUAUUAUUAUUAUUAUUAUUAUUAUUAUUAUUAUUAUUAUUAUGUCUUCCUGUCUUUACUUAUUUUAAUGUUAUUUAUUAAGGCUAUGGCACUUGGAGGUAGAAAAACUAAAAUUGCUGAACAACGCAACAACCUCAACAGCCAGAACAAUCCCAAUUUAAUGAGGUUGACUCACAAGUUGCUCAACAAUUCCUCGAUAUAAUGCAUACCUUCGCCUAGGCGAUAGUGCCACAACAACCACCAUGACUACCAACGCCACCACCAUUACCACCACCACUAUAACAAACAUUGAUAGUGACAGAAGACACAAGGAACAUAGCUGCUGCUAUUGUGAAACUAUUUAGGAAAUAGCAACCUCCAAUUUUUUAGGGUGGUUUAAACCCUUGAUAGCAGAAGAUUAGUUGACAGGGAUCGAAAGGAUCUUCCAACUCGCUAACUCCUCAGACUCAUGCUGAAAAAGGGUGCCAUGUAUUGGUGGGGCUCAACCUCAAGGUCAAGGACUCGCGGACAUAUCUGGACAUAGAACCUAUUCAAGGAGAACUUUUUGAAGAAGUACUACCCUACAAAUAUCCAAAAUCAAAGUAGGCCGAGUUUAUUACAUUGAGUUAGGGCUCAAUGUCUCUUAUUGAAUGAGAGCGAAAGUUGAAAGAAUUAUCUCAUUAUGUCCCUAGCUUCGUGGAUACGGAGGAGAAAAAGGUGAGGCAUUUUGAACAACGUUUAAAGGAUGAUCUAAAGUAGGUAGUGGCGGUGCUUGAACAAGGAACCUACCUUGAAGUAUCGCACAACUGGCAGAUUUUAGGGACCGGUCUAGUAGGGAGAACUAGCAACUAUAUCGGCAUACGAAAAAGCAUAAGUGGGAAGAUAGCACAAGCAAAUGACAACAGAACUAUUGUAAGAAAGGUAAAGGAGACACAAUUCAAAGUAACAAUAAGAGCUUCCUACUUUGCAAUAAAUGCAAGAAACACUAUCUGGGAGCUUGUCUCUUAGGGACAAACAUAUGUUUUCAGUAUAGGUAACAAGGACACAUGGCCACGUUCUGCUCUAAGAUCCAGCGAAAAUAGGGAAGCGCACAACAGAUAAAGGAAUAUACUCCCAAGGGAUAAGUGAGAAUCUUUGCAUUGACUGAACGGGAAGAAAAUCAGGAUCAUGAUAUUCAAUCAGGUAACAUUUUAACAUCCAACUUAUAAGCCCAUGUAUUAAUCAAUUCUGUUGUCAUUCACUCAUUUAUAUCCCUUAAAAUCAUACGAAGACUAGAUGUGCAUAUUAUACCAGCACAUUUACCUUUAGAAGUGUCUAUACCCUCUGGAAAGGUGCUGAAAACUGAUAAUAUAGUUAAGGCGACAAGGAUAGAAAUCAAUUGUAGGUCUUUAGAGAUGGAAUUUUAUGAAUUAGAUAUGCAAAUACAAAUUGUCUAAUUGCCUCACUUUUUUUUAUUAUUUUGUGUGAUUUUUCCAUUAUUUAAAAAAUAAUUGUUUUUUACAUGUUUAUGUGAGUUAGAUAGCUUUGUCAGUAUUGAUGUAUAUAAUUGAGAACAUGUAUCAAUUUAUGAAUUGUGGAUAAGUUAUGUGCCUUGCUAAUUUUUUGCUUAUUCAUGUAGAACGUGAGAUGCUUAUGCAGGAGAGUUGAUUAUGGAGUUGUACAUAAGUAGGUUGAUCCAUGUUUAUUGGUUGAAAUAAAGAACUUAGAUGCUAAAUUCAAACAACUCCUAAAUAUUAUUCUAUCUAGGAUGUUUGGGUGGUUGAGCUGUUGUAAAUUUGGAUUCCAUGCAUGCUAAAUUUUGUGUGGAUUGUUUGAGACCAAUAGAAUGAUAAUUGUGUAAAAACCUUAAGUUAGGGUCGAUUUUCGAGAAUGAGUAUUUAAUAAGAGGCAAUGCUCUAAUCACUGUAUAAAAGGGAAAAAGUUGCCUUGUUGUGAAAAUACCUUAAAAGAUCCCAAUGAGGACAACUAUAAUAAUCUCAUUGAGAAAUGUUUCUUCAUAGCCUUUGUGACUUAAGUUAUUAAGCAUGCAAGGGUUGAAAAUCCGAUUCCCUAAAGUUAUCUAACUUGCGAGUCAUUGCCCUGAAGUUUGCUAUAGGGGCCAUUUAGAAAACUUAAUGUAGAGACAUCCAUACAUAAGAUUAAUUAAAGAAUAUAUAUAUUAGAAAAGAAUGUGCAUAAGAUAGAAGACAUACCACAUGCCUUGAUUAAGCUUCAAACACUUGUUUUAGAAGAUUAGACCUUUGAUAAUGGAUUAGUAACUUGGUUGAAUCCUGGGGGUUAAAGUAGUAAAAAAUAAGAAGAAUCCUCAUUCGUUGAUAUAUUGAGUUGCAACAAGUGAAACCUAACCAAACUUGAGUAGUGUAAGAAACUGGUAUUGAAAAUCAACUUAAGAAUAUGCAUCGGGAAGUGAAAAUAAAAUAAGUUUGGGGGUGUGUAAAUCCCACGAGCAAAAUAAGUACAUAUUUAACUUUUAAGUUCGAAAAUUGGAUCAACUUAUUAAUGUACUGCAUUGCACUUAACUCUUCAUAUAGACGCCCGUUUUGUAUUGAAUAGGUAAGAAUUUAACUUUGUAUUAUAGCUUUGAUGUUGUUUGUUGACGUCAAAAUUUGUAAAGAUUAAUCUCGAGUCAACUUAAAGUAAAAAGGGACAAUCUUUCUCUAUUAUGAAAUAGGCACAAAAUGUGUGAUUGGGAAACUAACUUGUAUCCAGUGUUUGCCAGAAAGCCCCCUCUUAACAGAACCAUUUCCCUACUAUUUAUGCACGACCUCAAUCGAAAUUACAUCAAAUCAAUCAAAUCAACUACAAGAUCGAGCUCGUAAGUCUGGUUGUCGAAUUCUUCUGUGAUUGGUUGACGAGGCUGGUUGCCAUGUGCCAUUGUUCUUCUCAGGUGAUAAUGGCCUGCAAGAGGCUAGAGAUUCGAGGCCUUGGAUUGGUGGCUUUGGACGGUGAUGACGUCAUCCUCCACAAGUGUAUGUGAUUGAGAGGGUGAUGUGACAAGAGGGAAUUAUUAUAUCUCUUGAGACUACGACGGUAUUAUACCGAGUUGAAGUACAUAGCCGAACUUGCAUCUGCCUGAGGUGGGGCCCGCAAAUGACAAUUAUGAUACCGGAGUUGACGGUCAACAUUGUUCAUAAUUGAUAUUGAGUUUUCAAUCAUGAGCUCUGAAGGUAAACUAUCUAACUAAAUUUAUUUAUGUGUUUUCUUUUCUUAAAUUUGUUUGUUUAAGUGUUUGUUAGUUAGGUUUUUCUUUUUCUUUUUCUUUUUUUUUUGUUUUUUGUUUUUUUGCUUUUUUGUUUAGUGUUUGCUCAAGGACUAACAAAGUGUUAAGUUUGGGGGUAUUGGAUGAUUGUAUUUCACUCAUACUUUAGAUAUCAUCUAACCUAGAUAUUUAGCUAAUUCCUAUGAGUUUUAGAUCAUUUUAAUAUGUGUUUUGAUGUUGUCAUAUAGGUUGAUGAGAUUGAAGGAAAUAAGUAAAAGUUAGCAAAAUUGGAAAAUGGGCUAAAUUGUAAGAGAUCCAAAAUUUGGAGACUGAAGUGAAAAUACUCAAAAGUUGUGUCGGACCUCACAAUGAAGAUUCGAGAGUGCUAGGAGUCAAUUGGAUAAAAAAAAGUCAAAGGGAUAAAAUAUAGUCAAAGUAUGAUUACACAUCAAUUUUCAAUCGAGAAAGUUAUGCUCCAGAUUUUUUAGUCUCAUAUUAAGACCCAUUUUUACAUAGCAAAUAUUCGAAUUGGAAAAAGAUAUCUGAAGUAAAUUUGUAGCCCUUUGAGUUAGAUUUUCGACACAUCUUAAAUCCCUUCGAUCGAAUAUCGAAAGAAGAUCUUAUGAUAAAAAUAAUAAAGAUGCCCAAUACUUUUUUCUCCCCAAAAGUGGCACUGCAAUGUCGCUAUAGUGGCACCGCAGUGCCACUAAUGCUGAAAAUUAGCAAUAUCGUAGCACCCUUUGACGCUGGGCAUGAUAGUGAUUAUCCUGUUGACUAGUUACCACAAAUGAUUCAUAGAAGAAAUACGAAUAAAACAUCCAAACAACAGAAAGAUUUCUCUAAAAUUCAACUCUGUAUUAUUCAACAUCCAGAAUGUCGAAAAACAACCCACAAGCUGGGCUAUAUAGCUAAAGAAGAACAAUAUUAUUGAAAUUUUACCAAGAAUAAUAAAAUACCAAUAAUCAUACCAAAAUAAACUAUAUAAUAAAUGAAGUAACUUGCCAAAAAUCUGGCUCAAAUCGAGUUCAUAAUCAUCUCAAAAACGACAAACGAAUAUUACAAGAAUGGAUAAAAAUUACUAAAAAUGAAAAUUUAGAAGGGAAAAUAGAGGAUUUUGGCCUCGAAAAUGAUGCCCAACGUGGACACGACGUGCGCACCGAAUAUAGCUUUUCGAAUUGGGAUCAUAAUUGCGAUUUUGAUAAACGUAGUCAAAGUUAUGGUCAAAUUAUCAAAGUAUGUUCAAAACUACUCCAAUUAGGAAAAGAUUACAAUCACUUGCCAUCUUUGUGCCGAUUUGCCAACCCAUGAUAUCUUGGCGUCGUUAACGUGGUAUUUGACAACUCAACAUUACUUGACUCAGAACCUCCUCCAUCACCCAUCUGGGAGGUGUAGCGCCGCCGGGAGAGAAAAAAUUAACUUUAAAUUUGUGGACUCUUUCUUGACCCAAUCCAACCUAAUUUGUCCAAAAAUUUAAAAUACUAUAAAUACAAACAUAAAAACCACAAUUCGAGAGAGAAUUCAACUAGACAAGAAAAGUAGAAAGAUUUAAUAAGUCAAAGGGAGGCAAGAGCAACAUCAAUGAAGAAGAUUAAAGAUCUACCUAAAAAUUAAUUUUUCUAUUCUCUUCUUUAUGUUGUUUAUUUUGAAUUAUAUAGAUUUCAUCUUUCUUAUCAUGAACUAAACUAUUCUUCUAUGCUUUGAUUAGACAAAAUUUGAGAGUAUGAUUUGAAUUCAUUUUAGUUAUUUCUAUGAAAUUUUUCAUUCCAUUUAUUUAAGUUAUGAUUUUAAUGCUUUCAGUUAAGGUGACUAAAUGAAUGAGUAUAUGCUAGUCAAUUCCGACACUCAAGAUAGGGGAAUUUAGGCUCUAUCAUAAGAUUAACACAACAUAGAUUUUUAUGUAUUCCAAGAGAAAGUGUAGAAUCUAUGAAGCUUACUUCACAAAAGAACCAUUAAUUUGAUAAAUUCUUAAUUUUAAUUCGGAAUAGAGAUAUUGAAAUUAAAAUCUAGGAGUAAUUUCUAAUCGGCACUCGAGAGGGGGGAUAGAAAUACAAUUGAGCUCUUGCUCAUAAUCAUGGAAAAGUUGAUUAGAGAUAACUAGAUAAUUGGUAAUCAUAUUUGAUAGUUAAGUGAAAUCAAAUCCUAGAAUUUCUUGAGUAAUUUUGCAAAUUUUUUUUAAUAUCGUUGAAUUCGUCACCAUAUUCAUCAUUAGAUUAGUUUAAACAUAUUGAUUUCAUAACUCAUUCGUCUAAAUAAAAUAAAAGCCAUAUAUUAUAGUACUUAGUAGAAUUUAAACAACAAUCCAUGUCGGCUCGCCACUCUUAACUCCAUCCAUGUAUUACAAAACUUGAUACCAUGUGCUUGAGGUAUAAAUCACGUUAUAGAAAAUGCGUGACAAAAAUAUAAAACCAGACAAAGUGUUUAGUUUUUUUUACCCAAAUUAGAGUGGAUAUUUUUUUUUGGGAAUAAAUUAUUUCCUUAUUUUUAUAUGGGAAAUUUUGUUUCCUUAUAUUUCACGUGAGUUUUAUAGAAAUAUAUUAUUUUCUUAUUCCACAUUAUUUCCAUUUUUAUGCUAUGCCAUGUACCUAUAAAUAGUGAUAUCCUCUUUUAAUUUAUUAGAAGUCAAUAUUGCUGUGGCGUUGUAUUGUCUCCAUAUUGUCAAUUAAUAAUACAUCUUGCCUCUGCGUUAAUUCUUUUUUUCUUUACUUUAUACCUUGAUAUAUAUUUUUAUAUUAUUGCAAUCCAUAUUAAUUUCAUAUUGCAUCAUUAACUUCAUUCUUUACAACCCGUCGAUCCAAACAAGUGGUAUCAGAGCAAGGUUACUAGUUCUUCGUAAUUUGAUUGAGGUUUUCAGAGAUGGCUUCGAUGAAGUAUGAUAUUCCGUUGCUGGAUCGCAAUACAAGGUUUUUGUUGUAGCAAAUAAAGAUGAGGGAUGUGUUGACACAGAUGGAACUAGAUGAUACUUCGCUGGGCUUUGAGAAAAUGCCAGCAAAGUGGCCUAUGGAGGAGAAGCAACAGAAGGAUAGGAAGGCUACAUCAUUGAUUCAUCUUCAUUUGUCCAACAAUAUAUUGCAGGAUGUCUUGAAGGAGAAGACAACGGCUGCUUUGUGGCUUAAACUGAAGUAAUUGUGUAUGAUAAAGAGUCUGACGAGCAAACUGACUCUAAAGCAGAAGUUGCAUUCCCAUCGCAUGGCAGAAGGCGGGUCAUUGCAGGACCACCUUGCUGUGUUCAAGGAGAUUGUUGCAAAUCUGGAGACGUUGGAGAUAAAAUAUGAUGAAGAUGAUCUGGCUUUGAUCCUGUUGUGUUUGCUACCCAGUUCUUUUUCGUCGUUUCAUGAUACUAUUCUGUAUAGUAGCGACACAUGUACCAUUGAGGAGGUAUAUGAAGCCUUGUUCUCAAAGGAAAGGAUGGAGUUGUUGGUUGGAGAUCCUACAUUUAGGGAUGGGGAUGCAGUUGUUACACAUGGUGAUCGACGGAAGGAUAGCUCGAAGGUGAGGUAUAGCAAUGUGUAUCGUUAUUACUGCAAGAAGAAAGGACACAUCAAAAAAGAUUGCGACAAGUUGCCGGGUAAAGGUAAUUUAUAUGCAAAUCAUGUGGGGCAAUCAGGUAAUUCGAAUGAGACUAAUAUUGCUGAGAAUUUUUGUGAUGAUAGAGAUGUGAUAUUAGCUGUAUCUGACGGGGAAUCCAAACCAGAGGAGUGGAUUCUGGAUUCUGCAUGUUCGUAUCAUAUGGGUCCUAAUAGGGCGUUAUUCCAGACAUAUGAGCGGUGAAGCAAGGUGGAGUUGUCAUGGGAAAGAACCAAUCUUGUCGGGUUACAUGAAUCGGUCGGGUCAGAUUGAGGCUACAAGAUGGGACAUUGAGGACAUUUGAUCAGGUUUGCCAUGUUCUAGACUUGACAAAGAAUCUCAUAUCAUUGAGUACCCUGGAUAUAGAAAGGUACAAAUUUUUUGGUGAAGGUGGAGUCUUAAAGGUUCGAAAUGGUGUCCGGGUUGUAUCGGAUGGAUGAAAGAGAUCGCAGUUGUACAUAUUACAGGGAAGCAAAGAAUCAAUUUUGAGACAUCGGGAUAAGUUCAGUACCGUGGGGGAUAUUCAGUUUGAUACAGUACCUCUUGUGUUGGGCUUUGGGUCCUUUCUGAACACUGCUAGAGGGAGCAUUGGUGAUUCCGCUUUGCCACCAAUUUCAGCGGAUGGACUGUGGUCAAAUGUCAGGGGUGGACUAAUGGAGCAUAGGUACUGUGGUGUUAUUGAUGUCUGUGAUGCUUUUGGGAUCGUUGAAAGUGACAGUUUUGACAAGGGGCCUUCUGAUCAAGCACUUGGUUUGGUUCCUGCUACAAGGUGUACUUCAACCCUGUAUGGUCAACAGUAAUUCUUUGGUAGAAUUUUGGGAACUCGGGAGUUGGGUUCAGGUGUCAUGUGUGGAUGCCUUGCAGAGGAAGGUGGUUUAGUGAUGGAAAGUUUUGGUUACUGUGUUGAGGAGUUUAGCUUUUUCGUUACAGACGGAUUUGAAAUCUAGGAGUUUAAUUCGUUGUAUCGGAAUUUGGGUCAAGGUGGAGAUUGUUGGGUUUUUUACCCAAAUUAGAGUGGAUUUUUUUGGAAAUAAAUUAUUUCCUUAUUUUUAUAUGGAAAAAUUUGUUUCCUUAUAUUUCACGUGAGUUUUAUAGAAAUAUAUUAUUUCCUUAUUCCACAUUAUUUCUAUCUUUAUGCUAUGCCAUGUACCUAUAAUAGUGGUAUUCUCUUUUAGUUUAGCAGAAGCCAAUAUUGAUGUGGCGUUGUAUUCUCUCCAUAUUGUCAAUUAAUAAUGCAUCUUGUCUCUGCGUUAAUUCAUUUUUUUCUUUACUUUAUACCUUAAUAUAUAUUUUUAUAUUGUUGCAAUCCAUAUUAAUUUCAUAUUGCGUCAUUAACUUCAUUCUUUACAACCCGUCGAUCCCAAGACAAAGGGUAUCUAGAAUGAGUAUCUUAUAGAGCGUAGCGAGAACUGGUCAAUAACAUAUUUCCUUGAGAAAUCUUCCAGUGUAUAUUCCACAUUCAACCAGCCUAUUGUGGGACACACCAUCUUUAGCAAUCUUUUCCAAAUGCCAUGCUUCAUCAUCCAAGGAUGUUUGAUGUGCUUCUAGUAUGCUGCAUAAAUAGUGAUAUGUUAGUUUCUCCAUUAACUACCAUGGAGUUGAAAUUUUGUGUGGACAACAUUAAACUAAAACCAUGUUGCUUAGUUAAGCCAUCCCAACAUACUACUUAAAGAGUAGACAAACUUUAUGCUGAUUCUUCGCUAAAAUACUACACCACAGAUGCAUGGGUUGCGUACAAGUAAUAAAGUGGACUUUUUGAGUCCGAAUUGUCGAUCCCUCGGGGAAUGUAUACUUUCAAUUACACAAAUAUAAUUAAUUUAAUUCUAACAAUAAAAAUAAAUAAAUACAAUUAAAGAUAUGAUUUUAAAUGAGGAAAUUAACUAAAAACCUACAAAAUAAGAAAAGGUAAAAAUCUUGGAAAUUUCAGAAGCAAGAGUGGUUGGGAUUUAUGGUUUUACUUAACUAUUGCCUAAUUAAUUUCUCCACAAGCCAAUUAACAAAUUACUCAUUCACAAUGUUAGACCUGACUUCCAAUUUUAGUCAAUUAUCUUUCUCGAGCAAAAUUAACCCUAAUUGAUUAAUUUAACCUACUAUAUCUCUAUAUCGAUUAAAACCAAACAACUACUUUAAAUCUUUGUGAAAAUAGCUCAACGGGUUGCCUAGGGUUAAGGGUAUAUCUCUAUUCGCUAAACAAACCUAGAGUUUCUACUACUUGGUCUAAAAUGCACAAUCUUCUCUCUAAUGAUGUACAGAUCACUUAAUAUAGUCAUUCAUUGGCCACAUAAAUGAAAAUGCAAUAAAUACAAUAGUAGAAACAUAUGGAAAUAAAUAACUUAACAUUAAAGAGCAAAUAUCAAAAUUAAGUAAAAGUUAGGUUAAACUAAUACCAUAAAUCUCAUUACAAAUAUUUAGCCCAUGUUAAAUAUAUGAUCAAAAGGAGAAUGUUUUAUAUAAUAUAUUGCGAGUUUGACAAAAUAAUAGAGAAAAAUACAAAGUAUAGAUAAAAUCCCUUUUUGAGCUUGCUCUUAAUUUCCCCAAAACCUUGCCAAAUCCUUAAUUGAAUCUCCUUGUGCUCUAGAUUGUGCCUUCAAAAUACCAAGGAAAGGAAAAGAAUAGAAAAGGAAGAGAAAAUGUAACGCCUCGACCCCUAGUGGACCGGAACGCUACUUACUUUACUUAGCUUAACCGUUGAUUUAGUAACAAGUGUAUACGUUUUAGUGAAAGCUUACAUCUUCGGAUAAUAAUUUAAAUAACAAUAUUUCAAAUACUUUAAACAAAAACACUGAAUCAUUUUUCAAAACAACAAAAUAUAAUUUAUUUGAAGAAAACAUAACUUGUUCUCGCAUUCUGCGUUAUUCAAAACUUUAAAGAAAUAACAUUGGAAAACAUUUCAUAAAAAUAAAUCCAAAUCACUUAUUCACCGGAUUUCCAUGGACUCAUUGCAUCACUCUCUAUCUUCUCCUCCAUCCAUGCUCGUGGUAGAAUUCCUUCAAUCUGUAGAGAUGGGAUUAAACCCGUGAAUUGAAAAAUUCAAUAGGUGUCAUAGGUGCAUUCGUGAUCAAGCUAUACAUUUCAAAACAUUAACUUUAUAACUUUUCAUACAUGCCGUACCCGGAGGCACCAUUUGACAUGAAGGGGUAUGCCGUACCCAAGGACACCAUUUGACAUACGAACAUUUCUUCAACAUAGAGGGGUAUGCCGUACCGGAGUACCAUUUGACAUACAACCAUUAACAUAGAGGGAUAUGCCGUACCGAAGUACCAUUUGACAUACAAACAUUAACAUGAAUCGAAACUUAUAACUUAACACGAUUAAAUACAUUGCACCUCUACCUACCUUGAUUGAUGCUUUUGAAACUUUGAAAACUUGGAUUGAAAACUUCGAUGAAACUUGGACGUUGAAAGAAAUGCACUCCUUGGAUGUUUGAAAACCGUUGAGAAUUGAUGCUUGAAGACACUUCCUAAACUUCUAGAAAAAAUAGUUUUCCUCCAUCUUUUUUUCUCUCUUAGAAACUCUUUCUUUAGUAUGUAAAAGCUCUUGCUUUUGGUGUGAGAAAAAUGAGUGAAAUGAGAUCUCUAUUUAUAGGUAAAUAUCCCAUAACUAAUAGCAAAUGAAGGGUCAAAUUUCAUUUAAGAGAGAAAACAUGGGUACCAUUUAAGUUUGAGGUUAAAUGCUUCAAUUUAGUGGGGUUUUUAUUGCCAAAAACGUGGGUGGCCCUUUGAGAAAAUAAUUGAUGAAAAUAAAUAUUUAAAUUCUAGAGAAAAACGAGAAUUUUCAUUUCAGGCAGUUUCGGUCGACCGGUUGUAGUUUGGUUGACACUGCACAGCUUUCAGUGUUUCCAUCAUAACUUCUUCUCCCGAUAUCCGAUUGAGGUAAUUCAAAGUAUGUUGGAAUGAUAACUUAAAGAGCUAAAACUUUUAUUUAGAUAUCAUUUUUCAAAUUGAACAUUUCCUAUGUCGAAAAUGGGUUUCAAAUGAGACUAAAAAUCUGAAGUAUACUUUGGUCAUCCAAUAUUCAUGUCUUAGUGCCACUAAGGUGUCUAGAAUUAUUUGGGGUUUUACAAAAAAGGAAGAGAAAAGAAAGAAGAAAAAAGAAUAGAAAGAAAGAAAAUGAAAGAGGAAGAAGACCUAGCCCCCAAAACCUAAAAUCCCCCCGAAAAUGACCAAAAUUCGGUAUUUAAAUGGCCAAAAUCGCGUCAAGGGAAAUUGUGAAAGAAGCCCCGAAAUUUACGUUAAAUAGGCAAAAUUCACCAGCCGGAAAGCGGAGCGCGAACAUAGGCAUUCGUUCCGCGCGCACACCGUUAAACCGUUUUGGCAUCGGUAAAUCAAAAAGAUCUCCCCGUGCAAGCACCAUUGCGCGCGGGCUUUCUUUAUUUCUUUUUCCAACUUAGUCCUCCAUUUAAUUGCACACAAGGAUCCUCAACUUUGAUCAUGUACAAUCUUGUCCUCAAAAUUUGAUUUUCAUAUCACUUUUGCUCUCCAAAAUUGUAACCUUAGGUCCCCAACUUUCGGUACUUGUGCACUUUGGUCCCCAACUUCACAUUUUUGUGCGCUGAUGGUCCUUUUCACUACCUUUUGCCUUGUUCUCUUCCUUUGGGUGAUUUUUGGCCUACAAAUGUAAAUAUUACAUAAUUGUGAGUAGAAUUUCAUUUAUUUAAUCAAUAAAUAACAUAUUUAGAUAUUAAUUAAGUGCGUAAAAACACACUUAUCACUGAUCUAAUAGAAAUGUCUUCCAACUUUAACAUCGUCAUGAAGCAUCAAGAAACUUUGAUAAAAAAAAAUCAUGCUUCAAAAAUUUCAAUGAUUGUUCAAGUACUGUGGGAACCAAAAAUAAAAAAUAAAAAUAAAAAUAAAUAAAAAAAUUACAACUUAGGAAAAAUAAAUAAAUAAAAUAAAAAUAAAAAGCAGAGUGCAUCAAUCAGUUAAUUAUAAUAACAUGCUGAACAAAAACGAAAAUUACCUGAAAUGAUUACGAAUAAAAUUUGAUAGGGAAGAGAUGGUUCAUAAGAGAAACAUUCUCCAUGAUGAUCUUGUACUUUGAAGGAUUUAUUCCUUCUCUAAUUCUCACUUCCAUAAGACUUGCAUGCACAUUUGCUCCCAACUGAAAUUUUUGCUCCUUAUCCAGCUCGAGUUUUCCAUAAAAACUGACCCCACCUACUUAACCUACACCCUCAUGCAAAGACACUGUCAAGUCCUCAUUCACCAAUGGCUUUCCUUCCCUGUUCCGUACAAUUUUUGCAAUUGAAGUCCUCCUUAGACCAGUCUUCUCGAUCAUUGGAAUUAAAAUCACCAUCAACCAUGAGAAGGUUGACCUUUAUUGACGAUAAAGGCCCAGAUGUUAUUAUUUUCUUAGAUGCAGAAUCAUACAAUACUAUUUUCCCAGGGAUUUUUCCCUCAAUUAGCACCCUAUUGCAUGUGAUUGGGGUUGAAGGCAAUUUACUGUCAAAAUGCAACUGCAAGUUCCUUGAUCCAGAGCACGCGUUUUGAUUUUGCGAGGAUCUACAGAAAACAAUUUUAUAAGAGGUGCAAAAUGUUAUUUAACUUGAAAAGGAUAUAGGAUCAAUAGAUAAUGAAGCUAUAUCUCAAUAUCAAGACAAAUUCAAAGAACUGGUCAGUUAUUAUUAUUAUAGUCUAAGUAAUCCUAUGGAAAACGAAAUCUAAUUAAAUGUCUUAUGACUUGAUAGCUUGAUAAAGGGACAAAAACCAUGGAUGAUGCAAAACAUUAUACAGUACCAUAAUUGAUGGAUAAACUAACCUCAGUAAUCAUUGGAUUACUGGUCCACCUCCUCACGAACCUAUCAUUUAGAGAGAGUAACAGAGUAAUCAGUCACUUACUAUCUCACAAAUGACAUCUAAAUUCAAUACUAAAAAUAUCAAAACAUUAGCCUCCAAAAACCAAAUUUAAAAAAGCAUAUCAAUGACUUUAAUGUGAGAUUUAAAUUCCACAAAUUUUCUCCACAAAAAAAAAAUUAAAUUAAAUUAAAUUUUACAGCAAUAUAUAGAAAUGCCCAUCAUGAGGUCAUCCCAGAGUCGGUUGGACAUCCAAGGGUAGGUCAAAUAUAAGAAUUCGUGGCAAUUAAAGAAAAAUGUAAUAAAUAGAUAGAAAGUGCAAGACAAAAAUAAGCACUUUUAGUAAAUAAAUGACCUAAAGAUUUCUUAUCACAAGUUUAUGUCGGGUUGUGAUGUCAGAUUCAAUCCAAUAAGUUAGGCUAUGAUGAUAUGGCAUGUCGGCCAUAUAAAUAAAACUACCCAAUAACGUCUCAUAGAAGGCCCAAGACCCCAAGCCCAAUAUUCGGCUAGAUAUAUCGCAUGUUCAAAGUUCGACUUUAGUUGUUGAUUGACUAGAAAUGUUAGUCGCUCUAGACCAUUAGAUCACAUUCUCUGAUCAAUGGUUGCUGUGUUUAGUAUAAAAAGGGUCUUUUUUUGUAACCAUAAACCAGUCGAUUCAUUCUUCAAGUCCGUGAGAGAAUCUUCAACCCAUUUUGUCUUCUCUUCAAUUUUCAUCUUCCCUUUUUUGUGUGAUUAAAGGUUGAAAUCUCCAUGUGAGAUAGGAGUCUUUGUGAUUUCUGCUGUGUGUGAAGACGAUUGAUCUAGGAUUGAGUUCUUUCUGGGUCCAUUGUAGUGACUUUGUUUCAUGUCUUGAGUUGUGAGGGUUUUGGGUUUGUCCAAUGCCUCUGUGUUGAUAUAGAAGUGUACAGUGAUCUGAGCCUACGAUCGAUAAGAUCUUUGAUGCCGGUUGAUUGGGGAUUUUUUGAGUAUUGUCGAUGUAUUCUCUCCGUACUGAAAUUGUUGUAUCUUUGAGUGAUUUGUAUUAAUAGUGGUAUCAGAGUCCUGUGGAGGCAUCGUUCAAGUCUUCGAUCGAGUUUAUCUCUGGAAAAUUAAUUUUCAAUUGAUAACUUGAAUCGAUUGGAAAUCAGAUGAAACCUAGGUCUACUAUUUAUAGAUCUAGGGGUUGCUGGAGUAGAUCCUGGUACUGAGAAUACAAUCUUAAAAGAAACUCUUGGUUUCUAUAUGCUCUUCGAGGAGAAGCCCUAGAUCUAGAUUUUAUCAAGUGUGAAUCCCAAAUCCGAGUUCAUAACGGCCUGUGAUCUUUUCGUAAAACAAGUGUUCUAGUGGUUAUAUUAAAAAAUACCACCACUUUGGUUUGCCGCUUUUAACUCUUAACUCAUUUCUUGUGUUCUCUUUUGAACUGUUUCUAUUCUUUCAUAUGUGAAAUUGUGCCUGGUUCUGCAUUAUUAUCGUGGCCUUUGCUAUUUGAUAAUCUUGAUUUUUUGAACUAUUCCUAGGUUGUGCCUUGACCUGAGAACUUAAUUCUCAAAGAAUCCUAGUGAAUAUGGGAAUCAGUUUGGGAGUGAUCUAUUGUUAUAGUUUUGUGCUUUACCCAUGAGCUAUUGUUGUAUGUGAGUUCAUUAUUUUUUGUUAAAAGAUACAUGGUAGUUCUUGCAUUUGUGUCCCUUGAUAUUUGUUUUUGGAACGGUUACUUUUUUUUUAAUUCAACUUUUUUGAAUUGUUGUCACUGAUAUAAUUCUCUUCCUUAAAUAAAGAAAAAUAUUCUUUUCAAAUAUAAUGAUUACAGCCACUUUUGAAUUUGGAGUUUAUAAUAGAAAAUGGGAUUUUCCCAUCUAACAACAAAAGAUAAGGAGAGUUUUAGGUCAACAAAAAGAUUCUAAGGCUAAUGAUUAGAAAAAGGAAGCUGAUGAAUUAGCCUAUACUUCUAUUAUCUUGUAUUUACCUGGUCAAAUAUUAAGAAAAGUAGGUAAAAAGAAUACUACCAAAGAAUUGUGGAAAAGACUAGAAGAACUUUAUCUCGCUAAAUCUCUGCCAUAUAAACUAUUUCUUUUGGAAAGAUUCUUUAGCUUUAAAAUUGAUUCCUCUGAAGACUUAGAUGAUAACCUUGAUGUCUUCAAUAAAUUACUCCACGAUACCACUAAUACAAAGAUAAGGUAUCUGAGGAAUAUAAAGUUGUUGUCCUGUUAAAUGCAAUACCAGAAAUCUUUAAGGAUAUCAAAACUACCAUAAAUAUGGCAUAUACACCCGCAUACUUGAUAUUGUUAUUGAAUCCUUGAGAAGUAAAGAACUAGAAUUAAAUAUGAGAAAUAUAGGAGUACGUUUGAGAGUUUCUUUGUGAGAGACAGGCCUUAGGUUAGGCAAAACUAGGGACAACAAUUCAGCUCAUCGGCUCGAAAAAAUCCCAAGCUAGCCCAGCUCAAGGAUCAGGUCAAGCCCCAUUUCGAGAGGACGAAAUGAGCUCACACGGGCAGGCUUGAGCUUCAACUGCCUUUAAAAUGUGGCAUUUUGCUGCCUUAAGAGGCAGCCGAGUGGGGCCUUUCCUUUUUUAAGGCCCGUAAUAAAAGGCAGCAGCACAAUAUUGCCUUCAAUUUACUUAUUAAAAAAAUUAACAGUAAAAGGCUUGUUCGGAGAGGCCCAAGCUAAAAACUCAGGUUGAGCCUAAAUCUUUUGUUUGACUCAGUUCGAGACCAAAAAAAUCUCGCACUGUUUUACUUGAGCUGAACUUGAGCCUCGAGUUUCGACUUGGCUCGUUGAUAUCCCUAGGUAGAACUAGAGUCAGAAAGGUCAAAAUAGCCAAGUAAAUAGUAAUAAGAAAAAAGGUAGAGAAAGGAUUAGAUCUAAAUCCAGGACUAGAAAUAAGGAGUGAUAUGGGUGUGGAAAAUAAGGUCACUUUAUAAAGGAAUGUUAUCAAAAGCAGAAUGAAAUAAAGGAAAAGAAAAUAGAUGAAGGUAAUAUUGUAGAACUUGUAGAGUCUAACACUGUCGAUGUGUAUGUUGUUAGUAAGCAUACCACUAAUCUAAACACUGCUAAUUUUUUAGCUAACAGUGAUCAGAACCAAGAAUGGAUAUUGGAUUUAGGCUGUACCUUCCAUGUGACAUCUAGAAAACAAUGGUUAGACAAUUUUUAAAAUACUUAGUGGAGGCGAAGUGGAUAUGGGAAAUAACGUUGUAUGUAAAGUGGAAGGUAUAAAUAAUGUUACCUUGAUGUUUGACAAUGGAUAUAUCUAUACUCUUGAAAGAGUUAGAUAUGUCCUUGAAUUGAAUAGGAACAUUAACACCAUGGGGGAUUUGGAUGACAUGGGCCUCAGGCGUACAAGGUAAAUCUGGAAAAUGGCUUAGUUAAAGUGAUGAAAGGAUCACUUGUCAUUUUCUAGGGUUAUGAAAGAAAUGGAAUACAUAUCACUAAAGCUGAUGUUGUCAUGAAUAAUGUUGCUGAAGUUACCAGUGUUGAAUUUGAUUCUACCUUCAAGCGACAUAAAAGGCUGGCUCAUUUGAGUGAAAAAGGACUUCAAAUCCUUCAUAAGAAAGAGGUUUUUGGUAAAGAUUAUGUAACAAAAAUUCAUUUUUUGUGAAGAUUGCACCUUAGGAAAACAACAUAGAUUACACUUUAAUACUGGUCAACAUAAAUCCACUUCUACCUUGAAUAUAUUCACUCUGACCUUUGGGGACCUUCAUCCACCACCACUCAAGGAGAGAAUAGAUAUUUCCUAUCCUUAAUUGAUGAUUAUUCAAAUAAAGUCUGGACUUACCUACUUGAACAAAAAAUUUGAGACUUUUGAAAGGUUUCAACAGUUCAAGACUUCGAUAGAAAAUCAAACAUCUAAGAUGAUUAAAAUUCUAAGGACUGAUAAUGGUUUAGAAUUUUGCAAUGCUGAAUUUGACUAGUUUUGCAAAGAAAAUGGAAUCCAAAGACAUAAAACGGUACCCUAUACCUAGGUCUCUUUUGGACAAAGUCGAAUGUAUCAUGGUUGGUUUUGGAGUUCCCAAGGUAAUCUGGGGAGAAGCUAUAAUGAUAUCAACCUAUAUAGUUAAUAGAACUCCCUCUAGUGCACUAGGAUGUAAAACACCUGAAGAACUGUGGUCUGGAAAGAGUCCAGAGUACUCUCAUAUGAAAAUUUUUGGCUGCGCAGCCUAUUCUCAUCAGAGUAUUGGUUAACUUGAGCCACAGGCUCAAAAGUGUAUUUUCUUGGGAUGUCCUGAUGGAGCUAACACACCGUUUGAGCCUCAUUAUUUCUCAUUAUAAUGUUUUGAAUAGUAUUUUAUUUCAAAAAUGAGUGGUUGAAAAGUUUUUGAUUUACGUGUAAUAUUAUUUUAUUGAGGAUUGUGUAGUUAAAAGUAUGAAAGAUAAAAAUUUAAUUUAAUGCAAUGAGAAAUAAUGGGGCUCAAACAGGGUCUAAAUAAUAUAGGUUAUGGGCCAGAGAUUUAAAGGGUUUUAAAUUCAUUACCAAUAGGGGUGUCACUUUUAAUGAAAAUGAAAUGUCUUAUCUUAGUGAUAAGGAGACUAAAAGAAAUUUGGAUGUUGGAGAGGGUAGUGGGACUAUGUUCUAGCUAGAACCAUAGUCCCCUCUUGAGUCUGCUUAUCAGAUCCAGGUGGAGUAUGGAUAUGAUGGGGUUGAACCUAGCACUGUUGAACCUGAACCAGAGGGCGGGGCAAAUGAAGUUGUGAAGAUGAGAGUGAACCUCUUGAAAACCUUAAUGACUACCAACUAAACUAGAGAUAGAGUUAUAAGGGAGAUUAGGGAGCCAUCAAGGUUUCUUUUCUCUUGCUAUGUUCUCUUACCAAGAUCUAGCCUUUAAGGGGCCAAAAUCUUAUGAUGAAGUCAUAUCCAACCCAGUUGAGUAAACACUGGGAAGUGGCCAUGGAAGAUGAAAUGAAAUCCCUUUUGAAAAAUCAGACUUCAAAACUUGUCACCAAGCCUAAAAAUAAAUCUGUUGUAGAUUGUAAAUGGGUUUACACUGUGAAAGGAGGUUCAAAAAAGUAACCUCUUAGAUUUAAGGCCAGACUGAUUGCCAAGAGAUUCACACAAAAUCAGGGAAUAGAUUACAAUGAAAUUUUUUCAUCUAUAGUAAAAUAUACCACAAUCAGGGUAAUGUUGUCUCUUGUGGCUCAUUAUGACUUCGAAUUAGAGUAAAUGGAUGCUAAAACAGCUUUCUUGCAUGGGGACCUAGAUGAGACAUCUAUAUGAAAU
Molecule: long non-coding RNA, 49553 nt
Filed under: Olea europaea (common olive)
Lineage: Eukaryota; Viridiplantae; Streptophyta; Magnoliopsida; Lamiales; Oleaceae
Description: long non-coding RNA (OEUR_LNC015626)
Source: RNAcentral